Molecule: long non-coding RNA, 49252 nt
Filed under: Populus tremula
Lineage: Eukaryota; Viridiplantae; Streptophyta; Magnoliopsida; Malpighiales; Salicaceae
Description: long non-coding RNA (PTRE_LNC001706)
Source: RNAcentral
UCAUUGUUGGCAGCAUAAGUUCUUAAAAGAAGCUUACCGUUUACGGUCAGCUCCAACGUAGCAUUUGACGGCACAGGAGGGUCAUCUCGGUAUGCUGUCCAGGUGAUUAUAUCAGCUGGCUUCCCACCAACCAAAUUCCCACUAUAAAGCCACUGCCCUGUGGGUAGAACCCAAAGGCAAAUGUGCCAGAAGGGGAGCGCCAUGAAGUUGGUUGGACGUUGGUGGAGAUUGUGAACCUAACUUAUCAGGUUUCGAGUGGUUCUGCUGGGAACUUGACAGGUUGUAAAUACAAAUUACUAACAAAAAGAAAGCUUCAUAAGCAAAAGCCAUUGGAUAGAAGUAUGGAAGAUAGAUGAUCUUGUUGUCCUUGUUACUUCUCACAAGUCUCGAAUUAAUAUAAAGUAAAACAAGGAAAUGCUAAAGCUAGGGCUCCACCAUUGCUUCUUCUUAGGGCACCGACUAUUAAUCUAAGAUAUCACUGAAACUUGGCCCCAUCAGUGGUAGACUUGAUUUUUCUAUAAAUAGAGUUAUUUAAUUUUUAAUUUAAAAAGUAUUUUGAAAGCAAAAUAUUCAGUAAUAAAAUUUUGAAUAAAAGAUUUUAUACGUUGAUCUUAUUUGAUAAAUUUUGUAUUAUUUAUGCUUGUUGUAGUUUUCUUGUACUGUUUCCAUCCAUUUCACUCUUGAAUGAGUCAUGUUUACGGUAAUAAAUGUUUUUUCUCCACCAAUAUUUUUUGUAAAUGGGUUUCUAGAUAUAUUGUUCAGACUCUGGUAUUGGUGCCGAUGCAUGCCUGCCUCACACAAAAUCUCCAAGCACAAGAAGAUGGAGAUCCAACCACGUAGUCUCCAAAAAUUGGAUACAUCAUACAAGUAUAGAUGAUCCUAGAACCACAGGUUCAUGAGAUUUACCAAACAAUUAUCAUGGACUUAAAACCUAAGUUAGAAAUUGUACUUAUCAUACAACCAUCCUUCACAUCUCUUUCAUGCUAAUGGGACUAAGAAAUUGUCUGCAAAUGAAAGCAUUGAAAAAAAACUUGCAAUAUUUCCUACCUUUCAAUUACAGGAAAGGAUUAAAGGAUGACUUGGUCAUCUUCCAUUAGCUAACCAUUUUCUUUCUAGUCCCAUCUGUUUGUUUUUGUAUUAAAAGUGAUUGAGUGCAUUUGUUUGAAAAAAACACAAAUUAAUGGAUUUUUAGAGCUUUUGAUGGUUUUUAUACUGAUAUAAAAAAUUAUUUUAAUAAUUUUCAAGUAAAAAAUAUUUUUUAAAAACACGUUACCUUACAAUACUAGAUGCAUAGAAUAUGUGUUUGAGAGUGCAGCUGUGAUUGCUUUUCAAAGUGUUUUUCACUCAGAAAUACAUCAAAAUAAUGUUAUUUUAUUUUUUAAAAAUACUAAAACAUAUAUUAAUUUUAAACAAAAAAUCUAAAAUUUUUAGAAUCGCAAAUUGAACCAUGUUCCCAUCAGUGUUCCUGUCAGGACAUUUCCACGUUGCAUGCCAGUAAAAAUAGACAGCCCCAAACCUUCGUGGUUGCUUCUAACAAGAAUAUUUUUUCCUUGAAAGACAUAAUGUAAGGAGAGUUGUCCCUUUCUGAGAUGUAUGGUUCUCAAAAAAAAAAAAGUCUUCUUAAUAGAAUAUUAAAUUCUUCUUUAUUUUUGCAAAAAUAUUAAAUUAAAUUUUUCUUUAUUCUUUGCAAGAAUAUUAAAUUCUUCUUUAUUCUUUACUUUUAUUAAAAAAAAAACAUUCAUAAAACAAGUACAAACACACACAUACACUUUUACUAUAUUUUUUCUUUCUUUCUUUUUUUCUUACACACACAAAUUAUACAAAUUCAAAAAAAAAAAAAAAACAAAGCAAAAAUUACAUUAAACACUUUAAAAAUUACAAAACAGACCCCAAAAAAUCCUUAAAGUAUUGGAAACAUUCUGGACCUGCAUGAACAAUGGUGGCGCGUUAAAAGUCGAACGCGUUCAAAGUUUUUUGAAAAUUUAAAAUUCUUUUGAGACGGUGCGAAAAUGGUAACAACGAUGCAAAUAUAUUAAAAACAUAUUUGUUUGGAUUUUUGAUGUUUUUCUCUAUUUUUAAUUUUUCUUAAAAUUAUCAAAACAUGAAUCAAAAAUUGAGUAGCAACAAUUAUCAUUGACUUAAAACCUAACUUAGAAAUUGUACUUAUCAUACAACCAUCCUUCACAUCUCUUUCAUGCAAAUGGGACAAGAAAUUGUCUGCAAAUGAAAGCAUUGGAUAAAAAAAGACAGUUUGCAAUAUUUCCUACCUUUCAAUUACAGGAAAGGAUUAAAGGAUGACUUGGUCAUCUUCCAUUAGCUAACCAUUUUCUUUCUAGUCCCAUCAUUGUUUGUUUUUGUAUUAAAAGUGAUUGAGUGCAUUUGAUUUGAAAAAAAAAAAAAUUAAUGGAUUUUUAGAGCUUUUGAUGGUUUUUAUAUACUGAUAUAAAAAAUUAUUUUAAUAAUUUUCAAGUAAAAAAUAUUUUUUAAAAACACGUUACCUUACAAUACUAGAUGCAUAGAAUAUGUGUUUGAGAGUGCAGCUGUGAUUGCUUUUCAAAGUGUUUUUUCACUCAGAAAUACAUCAAAAUAAUGUUAUUUUAUUUUUUAAAAAUAAAAAUACUAAAAUAUAUUUUUUAAACAAAAAAAUUCUAAAAUUUUUAGAAUCGCAAAUUGAACCAUGUUCCCAUCAUGUUCCUGUCAGGACAUUUCCACUGCAUGCCAGUAAAAAUAGACAGCCCCAUAACCUUCGUGGUUGCUUCUAACAAGAAUAUUUUUCCUUGAAAGACAUAAUGUAAGGAGAGUUGUCCCUUUCUGAGAUGUAUGUCUCAAAAAAAAAAGUCUUCUUAAUAGAAUAUUAAAUUCUUCUUUAUUUUGCAAAAAUAUUAAAUUAAUUUUCUUUAUUCUUUGCAAGAAUUAAAUUCUUCUUUAUUCUUUACAAUUUUAUUAAAAAAAAAAAAUUCAUAAAACAAGUACAAACACACACAUACACUUUUACUAUAUUUUUUUUCUUUCUUUUUUUCUUACACACACAAAUUAUACAAAUUCAAAAAAAAAAAAAACAAAGCAAAAAUUACAUUAAACACUUUAAAAAUUACAAAACAGACCCAAAAAAUCCUUAAAGUAUUAGGAAACAUUCUGGACCUGCAUGAACAAUGGUGGCGCGUUAAAAGUCGAACGCGUUCCAAAGUUUUUUGAAAAUUUAAAAUUCUUUUGAGACGGUGCCUGAAAAUGGUAAAACGAUGCAAAUAUAUUAAAAACAUAUUUGUUUUUGGAUUUUUGAUGUUUUUCUCUAUUUUUUAAUUUUUCUUAAAAUUAUCAAAACAUAAAUAAAAUUGAAGUAGCAACAAUUAUCAUUGACUUAAAACCUAACUUAGAAAUUGUACUUAUCAUACAACCAUCCUUCACAUCUCUUUCAUGCAAAUGGGACCUAAGAAAUUGUCUGCAAAUGAAAGCAUUGGAAAAAAAGACAGUUUGCAAUAUUUCCUACCUUUCAAUUACAGGAAAGGAUUAAAGGAUGACUUGGUCAUCUUCCAUUAGCUAACCAUUUUCUUUCUAGUCCCAUCAUUGUUUGUUUUUGUAUUUAAAAGUGAUUGAGUGCAUUUGAUUUGAAAAAAAAAAACCAAAUUAAUGGAUUUUUAGAGCUUUUUGAUGGUUUUUAUAUACUGAUAUAAAAAAUUAUUUUAAUAUUUUCAAGUAAAAAAUAUUUUUUAAAAACACGUUACCUUACAAUACUAGAUGCAUAGAAUAUGUGAUUGAGAGUGCAGCUGUAAUUGCUUUUCAAAGUGUUUUUUCACUAGAAAUACAUCAAAAUAAUGUUAUUUUAUUUUUAAAAAUUAUUUUAAAAAUACUAAAAUAUAUAUUAAUUUUAAACAAAAAAAUUCUAAAAUUUUUAGAAUCGCAAAUUGAACCAUGUUCCCAUCAAUGUUCCUGUCAGGACAUUUCCACGUGCAUGCCAGUAAAAAUAGACAGCCCCAUAACCUUCGUGGUUGCUUCUAACAAGAAUCUUUUUUCCUUGAAAGACAUAAUGUAAGGAGAUUGUCCCUUUCUGAGAUGUAUGUCUCAAAAAAAAAAAAAGUCUUCUUAAUAGAAUAUUAAAUUCUUCUUUAUUAUUGCAAAAAUAUUAAAUUAAAUUUUUUUUAUUCUUUGCAAGAAUAUUAAAUUCUUCUUUAUUCUUUACAAUUUUAUUAAAAAAAAAACAUUCAUAAAACAAGUACAAACACACACAUACACUUUUACUAUAUUUUUUCUUUUUUCUUUUUUUCUUACACACACAAAUUAUACAAAUUCAAAAAAAAAAAAACAAAGCAAAAAUUACAUUAAACACUUUAAAAAUUACAAACAGACCCAAAAAAUCCUUAAAGUAUUGGGAAACAUUCUGGACCUGCAUGAACAUGGUGGCGCGUUAAAAGUCGAACGCGUUCCAAAGUUUUUUGAAAAUUUAAAAUUCUUUUGAGACGGUGCUGAAAAUGGUAAAACGAUGUAAAUAUAUUAAAAAAACAUAUUUGUUUUUGGAUUUUUGAUGUUUUUCUCUAUUUUUUUUUUCUUAAAAUUAUCAAAACAUAAAUAAAAUUGAUAGCAACAAUUAUCAUUGACUUAAAACCUAACUUAGAAAUUGUACUUAUCAUACAACCAUCCUUCACAUCUCUUUCAUGCAAAUGGGACUAAGAAAUUGUCUGCAAAUGAAAGCAUGGAUAAAAAAAGACAGUUUGCAAUAUUUCCUACCUUUCAAUUACAGGAAAGGAUUAAAGGAUGACUUGGUCAUCUUCCAUUAGCUAACCAUUUUCUUUCUAGUCCCAUCAUUGUUUGUUUUUGUAUUUAAAAGUGAUUGAGUGCAUUUGAUUUGGAAAAAAAAAACCAAAUUAAUGGAUUUUUAGAGCUUUUUGAUGGUUUUUAUAUACUGAUAUAAAAAAUUAUUUUAAUACAUUUUCAGUAAAAAAUAUUUUUUAAAAAACACGUUACCUUACAAUACUAGAUGCAUAGAAUAUGUGAUUGAGAGUGCAGCUGUGAUUGCUUUUCAAAGUGUUUUUCACUCAGAAAUACAUCAAAAUAAUGUUAUUUUAUUUUUUAAAAAUUAUUUUAAAAAUACUAAAUAUAUUAAUUUUAACAAAAAAAAUCUAAAAUUUUUAGAAUCGCAAAUUGAACCAUGUUCCCAUCAAUGUUCCUGUCAGGACAUUUCCACUUUGCAUGCCAGUAAAAAUAGACAGCCCCAUAACCUUCGUGGUUGCUUCUAACAAGAAUAUUUUUUCCUUGAAAGACAUAAUGUAAGGAGAGUUGUCCCUUUCUGAGAUGUAUGGUCUCAAAAAAAAAAAGUCUUCUUAAUAGAAUAUUAAAUUCUUCUUUAUUAUUCGCAAAAAUAUUAAAUUAAAUUUUCUUUAUUCUUUGCAAGAAUAUUAAAUUCUUCUUUAUUCUUUACAAUUUUAUUACAAAAAAAAAAGCAUUCAUAAAACAAGUACAAACACACACAUACACUUUUACUAUAUUUUUUUUCUUUCUUUUUUCUUACACACCACAAAUUAUACAAAUUCAAAAAAAAAAAAAACAAAGCAAAAAUUACAUUAAACACUUUAAAAAUUACCAAACAGACUCCAAAAAAUCCUUAAAAGUAUUAGGAAACAUUCUGGACCUGCAUGAACAAUGGUGGCGCGUUAAAAGUCGAACGCGUUCUAAAGUUUUUUGAAAAUUUAAAAUUCUUUUGAGACGGUGCCGAAAAUGGUAACAACGAUGUAAAUAUAUUAAAAGACAUAUUUGUUUUUGGAUUUUUGAUGUUUUCUCUAUUUUUAAUUUUUCUUAAAAUUCAUCAAAACAUAAAUACAAAAUUGAAUAGCAACAAUUAUCAUUGACUUAAAACCUAACUUAGAAAUUGUACUUAUCAUACAACCAUCCUUCACAUCUCUUUCAUGCAAAUGGGACCAAGAAAUUGUCUGCAAAUGAAAGCAAUGGAUAAAAAAAGAUAGUUUGCAAUAUUUCCUACCUUUCAAUUACAGGAAAGGAUUAAAGGAUGACUUGGUCAUCUUCCAUUAGCUAACCAUUUUCUUUCUAGUCCCAUCAUUGUUUGUUUUUGUAUUUAAAAGUGAUUGAGUGCAUUUGAUUUGGAAAAAAAAAAACCAAAUUAAUGGAUUUUUAGAGCUUUUUGAUGGUUUUUAUAUACUGAUAUAAAAAAUUAUUUUAAUACAUUUUCAGGUAAAAAAUAUUUUUUAAAAACACGUUACCUUACAAUACUAGAUGCAUGCAGAAUAUGUGAUUGAGAGUGCAGCUGUAAUUGCUUUUCAAAGUGUUUUUUUCACUAAGAAAUAUAUCAAAAUAAUGUUAUUUUAUUUUUUAAAAAUACUAAAACAUAUAUUAAUUUUAAACAAAAAAAAUCUAAAAUUUUUAGAAUCGCAAAUUGAACCAUGUUCCCAUCAAUGUUCCUGUCAGGACAUUUCCACGUUGCAUGCCAGUAAAAAUAGACAGCCCCAUAACCUUCGUGGUUGCUUCUAACAAGAAUAUUUUUUCCUUGAAAGACAUAAUGUAAGGAGAGUUGUCCCUUUCUGAGAUGUAUGUCUCAAAAAAAAAAAAAGUCUUCUUAAUAGAAUAUUAAAUUCUUCUUUAUUAUUCGCAAAAAUAUUAAAUUAAAUUUUUCUUUAUUCUUUGCAAGAAUAUUAAAUUCUUCUUUAUUCUUUACAAUUUUAUUAAAAAAAAAAAGCAUUCAUAAAACAAGUACAAACACACACAUACACUUUUACUAUAUUUUUUCUUUCUUUCUUUUUUUCUUACACACCACAAAUUAUACAAAUUCAAAAAAAAAAAAAAAAAAGCAAAAAUUACAUUAAACACUUUAAAAAUUAAAAACAGACUCCAAAAAAUCCUUAAAAGUAUUAGGAAACAUUCUGGACCUGCAUGAACAAUGGUGGCGCGUUAAAAGUCGAACGCGUUCCAAAGUUUUUUGAAAAUUUAAAAUUCUUUUGAGACGGUGCCGAAAAUGGUAACAACGAUGUAAAUAUAUUAAAAACAUAUUUGUUUUUGGAUUUUUGAUGUUUUUCUCUAUUUUUUAAUUUUUCUUAAAAUUCAUCAAAACAUAAAUACAAAAUUGAAUAGCAACAAUUAUCAUUGACUUAAAACCUAACUUAGAAAUUGUACUUAUCAUACAACCAUCCUUCACAUCUCUUUCAUGCAAAUGGGACCAAGAAAUUGUCUGCAAAUGAAAGCAAUGGAUAAAAAAAGAUAGUUUGCAAUAUUUCCUACCUUUCAAUUACAGGAAAGGAUUAAAGGAUGACUUGGUCAUCUUCCAUUAGCUAACCAUUUUCUUUCUAGUCCCAUCAUUGUUUGUUUUUGUAUUUAAAAGUGAUUGAGUGCAUUUGAUUUGGAAAAAAAAAACCAAAUUAAUGGAUUUUUAGAGCUUUUUGAUGGUUUUUAUAUACUGAUAUAAAAAAUUAUUUUAAUACAUUUUCAGGUAAAAAAUAUUUUUUAAAAACACGUUACCUUACAAUACUAGAUGCAUGCAGAAUAUGUGAUUGAGAGUGCAGCUGUAAUUGCUUUUCAAAGUGUUUUUUCACUAAGAAAUACAUCAAAAUAAUGUUAUUUUAUUUUUUAAAAAUUAUUUUAAAAAUACUAAAAUAUAUAUUAAUUUUAAACAAAAAAAAUCUAAAAUUUUUAGAAUCGCAAAUUGAACCAUGUUCCCAUCAAUGUUCCUGUCAGGACAUUUCCACUUUGCAUGCCAGUAAAAAUAGACAGCCCCAUAACCUUCGUGGUUGCUUCUAACAAGAAUAUUUUUUCCUUGAAAGACAUAAUGUAAGGAGAGUUGUCCCUUUCUGAGAUGUAUGGUCUCAAAAAAAAAAAAAGUCUUCUUAAUAGAAUAUUAAAUUCUUCUUUAUUAUUCGCAAAAAUAUUAAAUUAAAUUUUUCUUUAUUCUUUGCAAGAAUAUUAAAUUCUUCUUUAUUCUUUACAAUUUUAUUACAAAAAAAAAAAGCAUUCAUAAAACAAGUACAAACACACACAUACACUUUUACUAUAUUUUUUCUUUCUUUCUUUUUUUCUUACACACCACAAAUUAUACAAAUUCAAAAAAAAAAAAAAACAAAGCAAAAAUUACAUUAAACACUUUAAAAAUUACCAAACAGACUCCAAAAAAUCCUUAAAAGUAUUAGGAAACAUUCUGGACCUGCAUGAACAAUGGUGGCGCGUUAAAAGUCGAACGCGUUCUAAAGUUUUUUGAAAAUUUAAAAUUCUUUUGAGACGGUGCCGAAAAUGGUAACAACGAUGUAAAUAUAUUAAAAGACAUAUUUGUUUUUGGAUUUUUGAUGUUUUUCUCUAUUUUUUAAUUUUUCUUAAAAUUCAUCAAAACAUAAAUACAAAAUUGAAUAGCAACAAUUAUCAUUGACUUAAAACCUAACUUAGAAAUUGUACUUAUCAUACAACCAUCCUUCACAUCUCUUUCAUGCAAAUGGGACCAAGAAAUUGUCUGCAAAUGAAAGCAAUGGAUAAAAAAAGAUAGUUUGCAAUAUUUCCUACCUUUCAAUUACAGGAAAGGAUUAAAGGAUGACUUGGUCAUCUUCCAUUAGCUAACCAUUUUCUUUCUAGUCCCAUCAUUGUUUGUUUUUGUAUUUAAAAGUGAUUGAGUGCAUUUGAUUUGGAAAAAAAAAACCAAAUUAAUGGAUUUUUAGAGCUUUUUGAUGGUUUUUAUAUACUGAUAUAAAAAAUUAUUUUAAUACAUUUUCAGGUAAAAAAUAUUUUUUAAAAACACGUUACCUUACAAUACUAGAUGCAUGCAGAAUAUGUGAUUGAGAGUGCAGCUGUAAUUGCUUUUCAAAGUGUUUUUUCACUAAGAAAUACAUCAAAAUAAUGUUAUUUUAUUUUUUAAAAAUUAUUUUAAAAAUACUAAAAUAUAUAUUAAUUUUAAACAAAAAAAAUCUAAAAUUUUUAGAAUCGCAAAUUGAACCAUGUUCCCAUCAAUGUUCCUGUCAGGACAUUUCCACUUUGCAUGCCAGUAAAAAUAGACAGCCCCAUAACCUUCGUGGUUGCUUCUAACAAGAAUAUUUUUUCCUUGAAAGACAUAAUGUAAGGAGAGUUGUCCCUUUCUGAGAUGUAUGGUCUCAAAAAAAAAAAAAGUCUUCUUAAUAGAAUAUUAAAUUCUUCUUUAUUAUUCGCAAAAAUAUUAAAUUAAAUUUUUCUUUAUUCUUUGCAAGAAUAUUAAAUUCUUCUUUAUUCUUUACAAUUUUAUUACAAAAAAAAAAAGCAUUCAUAAAACAAGUACAAACACACACAUACACUUUUACUAUAUUUUUUCUUUCUUUCUUUUUUUCUUACACACCACAAAUUAUACAAAUUCAAAAAAAAAAAAAAAACAAAGCAAAAAUUACAUUAAACACUUUAAAAAUUACCAAACAGACUCCAAAAAAUCCUUAAAAGUAUUAGGAAACAUUCUGGACCUGCAUGAACAAUGGUGGCGCGUUAAAAGUCGAACGCGUUCUAAAGUUUUUUGAAAAUUUAAAAUUCUUUUGAGACGGUGCCGAAAAUGGUAACAACGAUGUAAAUAUAUUAAAAGACAUAUUUGUUUUUGGAUUUUUGAUGUUUUUCUCUAUUUUUUAAUUUUUCUUAAAAUUCAUCAAAACAUAAAUACAAAAUUGAAUAGCAACAAUUAUCAUUGACUUAAAACCUAACUUAGAAAUUGUACUUAUCAUACAACCAUCCUUCACAUCUCUUUCAUGCAAAUGGGACCAAGAAAUUGUCUGCAAAUGAAAGCAAUGGAUAAAAAAAGAUAGUUUGCAAUAUUUCCUACCUUUCAAUUACAGGAAAGGAUUAAAGGAUGACUUGGUCAUCUUCCAUUAGCUAACCAUUUUCUUUCUAGUCCCAUCAUUGUUUGUUUUUGUAUUUAAAAGUGAUUGAGUGCAUUUGAUUUGGAAAAAAAAAAACCAAAUUAAUGGAUUUUUAGAGCUUUUUGAUGGUUUUUAUAUACUGAUAUAAAAAAUUAUUUUAAUACAUUUUCAGGUAAAAAAUAUUUUUUAAAAACACGUUACCUUACAAUACUAGAUGCAUGCAGAAUAUGUGAUUGAGAGUGCAGCUGUAAUUGCUUUUCAAAGUGUUUUUUCACUAAGAAAUACAUCAAAAUAAUGUUAUUUUAUUUUUUAAAAAUUAUUUUAAAAAUACUAAAAUAUAUAUUAAUUUUAAACAAAAAAAUUCUAAAAUUUAUAGAAUCGCAAAUUGAACCAUGUUCCCAUCAAUGUUCCUAUCAGGACAUUUCCACGCUGCAUACCAGUAAAAAUAGACAGCCCCAUAACCUUCGUGGUUGCUUCUAACAAGAAUCUGUUUUCCUUGAAAGACAUAAUGUAAGGAGAGUUGUUCCUUUCUAAGAUGUAUGGUCUUAAAAAAAAAAAAAAGUCUUCUUAAUAGAAUAUUAAAUUCUUCUUUAUUAUUCGCAAAAAUAUUAAAUUAAAUUUUUCUUUAUUCUUUACAAUUUUAUUAUAAAUUAAAAAAACAUUCAUAAAACAAGUACAAACACACACAUACACUUUUACUAUAUUUUUUCUUUUUUUCUUACACACUACAAAUUAAACAAAUUAAAAAAAAAAGUAAAAAUUACAUUAAACACUUUAAAAAUUACCAAACAGACUCAAAAAAAUCCUUAAUAGUGUUGGGAAACAUUCUGGACCUGCAUGAAUAAUUGUGGUGCGUUAAAAGUCGAACGCGUUCCAUAGAUUUUUGAAAAUUUAAAAUUCUUUUGAGACGAUGUUGAAAUUGUUAACAACGAUGCAAAUAUAUUAAAAAACAUUUUUUUUUUUGGAUUUUUGAUGUGUUUUGCUAUUUUUGGAUUUUUCUUAAAAUUCAUCAAAAUAUGAAUUAAAAAUUGAGUAGCAACAAUUAUCAUUGACUUAAAACCUAACUUAGAAAUUGUACUCUUCAUACAACCAUCCUUCACAUCUCUUUCAUGCAAAUGGCAAUAAGAAAUUAUCUACAAAUGAAAGCAUUGGAUAAAAAAAGACAGUUUGCAAUAUUUCCUACCUUUCAAUUACAGGGAAGGAUUAAAGGAUGACUUGGUCAUCUUCCAUUAGCUAACCAUUUUCUUUCUAGUGCCAUCAUUGUUUGUUUUUGUAUUUAAAAGCGAUUGAGAGCAUUUCAUUUUUAAAAAAAAAAAACCAAAUUAAUGGAAUUUUAGAGUUAUUUUAAUUAUUUUUAUGUACUGAUAUAAAAUAUUAUUUUAAUAUAUUUUCAAGUAAAAAAUAUUUUUUAAAAACACGUUACCUUACAAUACUAGAUGCAUACUGAAUAUGUGUUUUGAGAGUGCAGCUGUGAUUGCUUUUCAAAAUGUUUUUCACUCAGUAAUAUAUCAAAAUAAUAUUAUUUUAUUUUUUAAAAAUUAUUUUAAAACUACUAAAAAAUUUAUUAAUUUUAAACAAAAAAAUUCUAAAAUUUUUAGAAUCACAAAUUGAACAAUGUUCCCAUCAGUGUUCCUGUCAAGACAUUUCCACGCUGCAUGCCAAUAAAAAUAGACAACCCAGAACCUUGGUGGCUUAUAAUAAAAAUCUUUUUUCUUUGCAAGACAUAAUGUAAGGAGAGUUGUCCUUUUCUGAGAUAUGAGAUGUAUGGUCUCAAAAAAAAAUCUUUUAUAUAAUUGCUUUUCCAGUAUUGUUUGAUUAACAAUAGUGUUUGAUGGCCGUGCCUUGCAUGUAGGCCCGUGCCACUAACUUAAACCACGCAGUUUUCUUUCUCUUCUGCCUUGUGAGAGAUGUAAUUUGAGAACAUAACAUAUCAGCAGGAUAGUUCCUGCUACGAGGAAGCCACUGAGAGCUCUUACAAGGUUUUACUUACAAAUUGCUUAACUAGUAACAUGAGCAUGGGAAGACAAGGGAUGCAUGAAACUUUGUUUCCCUUCUUCUGGUUAUGUUGAAGAUAGCCAAAUAACUACAUGGCCAAAGGAAUUUUAACAGACAUCUCAAGUUUAAUAGAUUUUUUAAUUUUAACAAAAGCUUUUUGACUAAUCAAACUAUGUUUUCUCCAUGGUUGAGCAAAAAUCAAAAGCUACACAAUACCAAACCACCUCUUACUAUUUUUAUCACCUGUGCUCUUGUUUGUUCUUCUGCGUAAAUGUGAAAUAGUAUAUCAUAAGCAGUUUAAACGACAAAUCAGAAACGCUUUGCAUAUACAGAAAAAUGCUGCUCCAACCAUGUGUUUGAACAGCAAUUUUAUGAUAUCUUUCUGUUUAGACAACAAGAUGAGCCUCUUUCAGGCAACAAAAAUAAACACCAGACACAGUUUCACUGUGCAUGGAAACCUCCAACCAAGAAAAACUCCUAUUUCAACCCAGUAAAAUUCUCUAUAUCAAGACACGGACAAUUUCCCAAGCCAUCCCUCUUGCCUCUUUUUGUUAAAGUUACAGGGUCACUCUUCCAAAUGACAUUAAUUUUUCAGGACACUAUUAAUAUAAUUCCAUGCAAAUCCAAACUAAAACACUAAGAACCCUGGACAAUGAGCAAUGUAGCAGGAGAUAUUUGGCGGACACACUUCAUCAAGUUUUCAGUUUCAUCUUCUUAAUUUCAAUACCAAUGUAAAAUAACUCAUUCCAGCAUCGCUGACACAAAAUCUAUCAUUAACUGGCACAUAUUCUAAACCACUGACAGCCAACCCACCAUUAAGAUCUAGUCAGCUCAUCUCUGUAACUACAUCCCAAAAACAAAGUCCAAUACAGUUGUUAAUAACAGCUAUAAAGAAUUCUUCCAAAUGCCGUCAUAACAUAUUUUUGAAAAGCUUUUCAGGAAAAAAAUGUAGUAUAUAUACAAUGACUUUAUACACAAGACUCAAGAGUAUACACAAUGAACUGCUGCUUCACAAGCUUUAGCACUCCAAAGGCACUGAACUUAUUAGUUACAAUACAAAAAAAUACGUCUAGACAAAUGCCAUUUUUAAUUAGAGAAUUACCAGGGAAAUGUAACACCAAGCAAGCAUGGUGAAACGAAAAAAAUAAACUCAGACAGACCACUUCAAUUAGUUGAACUGCAUUCCACAGCCAUUUAAAUCUUCAACCUAUAAAUAUUCCAGGACCAUUUCUAUGAUCUUGUAGCAGAUGACACAGAGAGAUCGCUCUUCCCUUGUAAAAUGAUGAAUACAAAUUAGGUUUGAGUGGUUCUGCUGGGAACUUGCAGGUCUGUAAAUACAAAUUACUAACAAAAAGAAAGCUGCAUAAGCAAAAGCCAUUGGAUAGAAGUAUGGAAGAUAGAUGAUCUUGUUGUCCUUGUUACUUCUCACAAGUCUCGAAUGACUAUAAAGUAAAACAAGGAAAUGCUAAAGCUAGGGCUCCACCAUUGCUUCUUCUUAGGGGCACCGGCUAUUAAUCUAAGAUGAUCACUGAAACUUGGCCCCAUCAGUGGUAGACUUGUUUUUUCUAUAAAUAGAGUUAUUUAAUUUGUAAUUUAAAAAGUAUUUUGAAAGCAAAAUAUUCAGUAAUAAAAUUUUGAAUAAAAAAUUUUAUACGUUAAUCUUAUUUGAUAAAAUUUGUAUUAUUUAUGCUUGUUGUAGUUUUCUUGUACUGUUUCCAUCCAUUUCACUCUUGAAUCAGUCAUGUUUAUGGUAAUAAAUGUUUUUUCUCCACCAAUAUUUUUUGUAAAUGGGUUUCUAGAUAUAUUGUUCAGACUCUGGUAUAGGUGCCGAUGCAUGCCUGCCUCACACAAAAUCUCCAAGCACAAGAUGAUGGAGAUCCAACCACGAAGUCUCCAAAAAUUGGAUACAAGUAUAGAUGAUCCUAGAACCACAGGUUCAUGAGAUUUACCAAACAAAUAUCAUGGACUUAAAACCUGAUUUAGAAAUUGUACUUAUCAUACAUCCAUCCUUCAAUUACAAGAAAGAAUUAAAGGAUGGCUUGCUCAUCUUACAUUAGCUAACCAUUUUCUGUCUAGUUCCAUCAUUGUUUGUUUUUGCAUUGAAAAGCGAUUGAGUGCAAUUGGUUUGAAAAAAACAAAAUCAAAUUAAUGGAUUUUUAGAGCUUUUAAGGAUUUUUAUGUACUGAUAUAAAAAAUUAUUUUAAUAUAUUUUCAAGCAAAAAAUAUUUUUUAAAAACACGUUACCUUACAAUACUAGAUGCAUAUUGAAUAUGUGUUUGAGACUGACUCUAAGAAAACCUAACUUAGAAAUUGUACUUAUUAUACAACCAUCCUUCUCAUCUCUUUCAUGCAAAUGGGACCAAGAAAUUGUCUGCAAAUGAAAGCAAUGGAUAAAAAAAGAUAGUUUGCAAUAUUUCCUACCUUUCAAUUACAGGAAAGGAUUAAAGGAUGACUUGGUCAUCUUCCAUUAGCUAACCAUUUUCUUUCUAGUCCCAUCAUUGUUUGUUUUUGUAUUUAAAAGUGAUUGAGUGCAUUUGAUUUGAAAAAAAAACCAAAUUAAUGGAUUUUUUGAGCUUUUUGAUGGUUUUUAUAUACAAAUAUAAAAAAUUAUUUUAAUAAAUUUUCAAGUAAAAAAUAUUUUUUAAAAACACGUUACCUUACAAUACUAGAUGCAUAUAGAAUAUGUGUUUGAGAGUGCAGCUGUGAUUGCUUUUCAAAAUGUUUUUCACUCAGAAAUACAUCAAAAUAAUAUUAUUUUAUUGUUUAAAAUUAUUUUAAAAAUACUAAAAAAUAUAUUAAUUUUAAACAAAAAAAAAUUCUAAAAUUUUUAGAAUCGUAAAUUGAACCAUGUUCCCAUCAGUGUUCCUGUCAGGACAUUUCCACGCUGCAUAGUAGUAAAAUAGACAGCCCCACCUUCCUAGUUGCUUAUAACAAGAAUCUUUUUUUCUUAAAAGACAUAAUGUAAGGAGAGUUGUCCCUUCUGAGAUGUAUGGUCUAAAAAAAAAAGUCUUUUAUAUAUUUGAUUUUCCAUUAUUGUUUGAUUAACGAUAGUGUUUCAUGGCUCUGUGCCUUGCAUGUAGGCCCGUGCCACUAACUUAAGCCACGCAGUUUUCUUUCUCUUCUGCCUCAUGAGAGAUGUAAUUAGAGAACAUACAUAUCAGCAGGAUAGUUCCUGCUAAGAGGAAGCCACUGAGAGCUCUUACAAGGUUUUACUUACAAAUUGCUUAACCAGGAAUACGAGCAUGAGAAGACAAGGGAUGCAUGAAACUUUGUUUCCCUUUGUCUGGUUAAGUUGAUGAUAGCCAAAUAACUACAUGGCCCAUGGAAUUUUAAUAUCUCAAGUUUAAUAGAUUUUUUAAAUUUUAUAGUGAUAUUUUUAAAAAAAAAUUAAUGUGGAUGUACGGAUUAGUUUGCGCGUAUCUCAACUAAUCUUAUAUGUAGUGAUUUCUUAAAUUUUCUUAACUUACUCACAAUUUUUUAUGAGGUUAUACUGCACUACCGAUAAACUUAGUGCAUUUACUUAACAUCUUCCAUUAGAAAUAGAAUCAGCAAUUCAUUUCCUCGUUUGCUCAAUGCAAAGACAAUGUCAACCUCCUUACAAUUUAUCAUGAGAAUUUGGGAGAUGAUAUGCAAAGCACUCUUUGCUGUGAUGGUGACCUGACUUGCAAGUUGAAUCUUUAGCAGGGCCUGCAUGCAAUCGUUCCAAUCUUUACAUCCUUUGUGCCAAACAAGUUGGAAAAGCACAAGACGAGCGUCUUGCAUUAUAGCUUUCGGUUCAUGUUCUGAAAUAAAAGGAUCGAUGGUCCCAAAAACAAAAAGAAAACGAAAUGACGUGCAAUCGUUCCAAUCUUUACAUCCUUUGUGCCAAACAAGUUGGAAAAGCAUAAGACGAGCGUCUUGCAUUAUAGCUUUUGGUUCACCUUCUGAAAUAAAAGGAUGGUCCCAAAAGACAAAAAGAAAAAAGAAAAAAAAUGAAAGGACAUCCAGCCUAGAGAGAUAAUUUUGAAUUUUCUUUGUUUCCUUACGGGUUGAUGAAAGAUAAAAAUGUUUUUAUGAUUUUCCCAACCAAAAUUAUUAAAUAUUACAUAAUUUCAAUCUACACUUUUACUUUUGGAUAUAGGCCAUUGACCUUGCUUGCGUUAAUUUUCCGAAUUCAAAGUCGAAAACAUAAAAAAAAAAAAACCCAUAAGAUAUUAAAAAUAAGAAUAGAGGGAGUAAAAUUAAUUAUUUAUGUGUGACAACAUAUAAUUAGAAAAUUUCGUCAACAGAAUAAAAGGAUAUGUGACUUUUAUAAAUUUAAUCAUUUAUCUGUGACAACAAGUAAUAUAUAUAUAUAUAUAUAUAUAUAAUGGCUGAUGGAAAACAAACCCUUAAUUGUAUUAGGGUCUUGAACUCAUAGAAAUCCAAUGAAAUAUAUAGGCUGUGUAAAUACAGUCCAUUUGUUCCAUAGGCUGACUGCGCCCCAGCUUCCAAGCCUAAGCUUUCCUAGAUAGGGUGCAGCCUAUGUUCCAUCCAAAGCCCAAGCUAGCUAGGGGGUGGUUUCAGCCCAUAAUCUUUUUUUUAAUAUUAAAAAUAUUUUUUUAAUAAAUAAUAAAUAUUUUUUAAUAUAUUUUAAAAUAAAAUACAUUUUAAAAAAUAAUUUCUAUUACAUUUCCAAACUAUACUUCAUUUUUUUUAUAUAUAUCUAUAAAAAAAAUAAGGAGCAGUUUUAUAUUUUUCUCAAAGAAUAAAAUUGAGAAUUUAGUAUUUAUAUGUCCAAUUGUUUUUUUCGUAUCAAAUGUAUUUUUUUGUGAGUUGGAUGAUGUUUUUUAAAAGUUUUAAAAUCUUUUUUAGCUCUAAAUUAUUUUAAAACUAUGAAUUUAGUAUUUAUAUGUACAAUUUUUUUUUGGUCCUCAAACCUUCUUUAAUAGUGUUUAUUCGUGUAAUUAUACAAUGUUUUUCAAAAAUUUUGAAGGUUUUUUUAGUUUAAAAUUUUUUUGUAUUUUUGAAUCGUUUUGAUAAGUUGAUAUUAAAUUCUUCUUUAUUGUUUGCAAAAAUAUUAAAUUAAUUUUUUUUUAUUCUUUGCAAGAAUAUUAAAUUCUUCUUUAUUCUUUACAAUUUUAUUAUAAAAAAAAAAAAAUUCAUAAAAAAAGUACAAACACACACAUACACUUUUACUAUAUUUUUUUUCUUUUUUUCUUACACACUAAAAAUUAUACAAAUUAAAAAAAAAUAAAAAAACAAAGCAAAAAUUACAUUAAACACUUUAAAAAUUACAAAACAGACCCCAAAAAAUCCUUAAUAGUGUUGGGAAACAUUCUGGACCUACAUGAACAGUGGUGCGCGUUAAAAGUCGAACGUGUUCCAAAGUUUUUUAAAAAUUUAAAAUUCUUUUGAGACGAUGCUGAAAAUGGUAAAAACGAUGCAAAUAUAUUAAAAAACAUAUUUGUUUUUGGAUUUUUGAUGUUUUUCGCUAUUUUUGAAUUUUUCUUAAAAUUUAUCAAAACAUGAAUAAAAAAUUGAGUAGGAACAAUUAUCAUUGACUUAAAACCUAACUUGGAAAUUGUACUUAUCAUACAACCAUCCUUCUCAUCUCUUUCAUGCAAAUGGCUCUAAGAAAUUGUCUGCAAAUGAAAGCAUUGGAUAAAAAAAGACAGUUUGCAAUAUUUCCUACCUUUCAAUUACAGGAAAGGAUAAAGGAUGACUUGGUCAUCUUCCAUUAGCUAACCAUUUUCUUUCUAGUCCCAUCAUUGUUUGUUUUUGUAUUUAAAAACGAUUGAGUGCAUUUAAUUUGACAAACUAAAAGAAAAUAAAAUUAAUAGAUUUUUAGAGCUUUUUAAAGGUUUUUAUAUACUGAUAUAAAAAAUUAUUUUAAUAAAUUUUCAAAUAAAAAAUAUUUUUUAAAAACACGUUACCUUACAAUACUAGAUGCAUACUAAAUUUGUGUUUGAUAGUGCAGUUUUGAGUGCUUUUCAAAGUGUUUUUCACUCAGAAAUACAUCAAAAUAAUAUUAUUUUUUUUAAAAAAAAUUAUUUUAAAAAUACUAAAACAUAUAUUAAUUUUAAACAAAAAAUUUCUAAAAUUUUUAGAAUCGCAAAUUGAACCAUGUUCCCAUCAGUGUUCCUAUCAGGACAUUUCCACGCUGGAUGCCAGUAAAAAUAGACAGCCCCAUAACCUUCGUGGUUGCUUCUAACAAGAAUCUUGUAAGGACAGUUGUCCCUUUCUGAGAUGUAUGGUCUCAAAAAAAAAUCUUCUUGAUAGACUAUUAAAUUCUUCUUUAUUGUUUGCAAAAAUAUUAAAUUAAUUUUUUUUUAUUCUUUGCAAGAAUAUUAAAUUCUUCUUUAUUCUUUAUAAUUUUGAGACGAUGCUGAAAAUGGUAAAAAUGAUGCAAAUAUAUAAAAAAAACAUAUUUGUUUUUGGAUUUUUGAUGUUUUUUGCUCUUUUUGAAUUUUUCUUAAAAUUUAUCAAAACAUGAAUAAAAAAUUGAGUAGUAACAAUUAUCAUUGACUAAUAACCUAACUUAGAAAUUGUACUUAUCAUACAACCAUCCUUCUCAUCUCUUUUAUGCAAAUGGCUCUAAGAAAUUGUCUGCAAAUGAAAGCAUUGGAUAAAAAAAGACAGUUUGCAAUAUUUCCUAACUUUCAAUUACAGGAAAGGAUAAAGGAUGACUUGGUCAUCUUCCAUUAGCUAACCAUUUUCUUUCUAGUCCCAUCAUUGUUUGUUUUUGAAUUUAAAAGUGAUUGAGUGUAUUUGAUUUGAAAAAAAAAACCAAAUUAAUGGAUUUUUAGAGCUUUUUGAUGGUUUUUAUAUACAGAUAUACAAAUUUAUUUUAAUAAAUUUUCAAGUAAAAAAUAUUUUUUUAAAACAUGUUACCUUACAAUACUAGAUGCAUAUAGAAUAUGUGUUUGAGAGUGCAGCUGUGAUUGCUUUUCAAAGUGUUUUUCACUCAGAAAUACAUCAAAAUAAUGUUAUUUUUAUUUUUAAAAAAUUAUUUUAAAAAUACUAAAACAUAUAUUAAUUUUAAACAAAAAAAUUCUAAAAUUUUUAGAAUCGCAAAUUGAACCAUGUUUCCAUAAGUGUUCCUGUCAGGACAUUUCCACGCUGCAUGCCAGUAAAAAUAGACAGCCCCAUAACCUUCGUGGUUGCUUCUAACAAGAAUCUUUUUUCCUUGAAAGACAUAAUGUAAGGAGAGGUGUCCCUUUCUGAGAUGUAUGUUCUCAAAAGAAAAGUCUUCUUAAUAGAAUAUUAAAUUCUUCUUUAUUCUUUGCAAAAAUAUUAAAUUAAUUUUUUUUUAUUCUUUGCAAGAUUAUUAAAUUCUUCUUUAUUCUUUACAAUUUUAUUAUAAAUAAAUAAAAAUUCAUAAAACAAGUACAAACACACACAUACACUUUUACUAUAUUUUUUUCUUUUUUUCUUACACACUACAAAUUAUACAAAUUCAAAAAAAAAAAGCAAAGCAAAAAUUACAUUAAACACUUUAAAAAUUACAAAACAGACCCCAAAAAAUCCUUAAUAGUGUUGGGAAACAUUCUGGACCUGCAUGAACAGUGGUGCGCGUUAAAAGUCGAACGCGUUCCAAAUUUUUGAAAAUUUAAAAUUCUUUUGAGACAAUGCUGAAAAUGUAAAAACGAUGCAAAUAUAUUAAAAAACAUAUUUGUUUUUGGAUUUUUGAUGUUUUUUCUAUUUUUAAUUUUUCAAAAUCAUCAAAACAUGAAUAAAAAUUGAGUAACAAUUAUCAUUGACUUAAAACCUAACUUAAAAUUGUACUUAUCAUACAACCAUCCUUCACAUCUCUUUCAUGCAAAUGGGCUAAAAAUUGUCUGCAAAUGAAAGCAUUGGAUAAAAAAAGACAGUUUGCAAUAUUUCCUACCUUUCAAUUACAGGAAAGGAUUAAAGGAUGACUUGGUCAUCUUCCAUUAGCUAACCAUUUUCUUUCUAGUCCCAUCAUUGUUUGUUUUUGUAUUAAAAGUGAUUGAGUGCAUUUGAUUUGGAAAAAAAAAAACAAAUUAAUGGAUUUUUAGAGCUUUUUGAGGUUUUAUAUAUUGAUAUAAAAAAUUAUUUUAAUAAUUUUCAAGUAAAAAAUAUUUUUUAAAAACACGUUACCUUACAAUACUAGAUGCAUAGAAUAUGUUUUGAGAGUGCAGCUUGAUUGCUUUUCAAAGUGUUUUUCACUCAGAAAUACAUCAAAAUAAUGUUAUUUUAUUUUUUAAAAAUACUAAAACAUAUAUUAAUUUUAAACAAAAAAAUUCUAAAAUUUUUAGAAUCGCAAAUUGAACCAUGUUCCCAUCAGUGUUCCUGUCAGGACAUUUCCACGCUGCAUGCCAGUAAAAAUAGACAGCCCCAUAACCUUCGUGGUUGCUUCUAACAAGAAUCUUUUUUCCUUGAAAGACAUAAUGUAAGGAGAGGUGUCCCUUUCUGAGAUGUAUGUUCUCAAAAGAAAAGUCUUCUUAAUAGAAUAUUAAAUUCUUCUUUAUUCUUUGCAAAAAUAUUAAAUUAUUUUUUUUAUUCUUUGCAAGAAUAUUAAAUUCUUCUUUAUUCUUUACAAUUUUAUUAUAAAUAAAUAAAAAAUUCAUAAAACAAGUACAAACACACACAUACACUUUUACUAUAUUUGUUUUCUUUUUUUCUUACACAAUACAAAUUAUACAAAUUCAAAAAAAAAAAAAAGCGAAGCAAAAAUUACAUUAAACACUUUAAAAAUUACAAAACAGACCCAAAAAAUCCUUAAUAGUUGGGAAACAUUCUGGACCUGCAUGAACAUGGUGGCGUUAAAAGUCGAACGCGUUCCAAAGUUUUUUGAAAAUUUAAAAUUCUUUUGAGACAUGCUGAAAAUGGUAAAAACGAUGCAAAUAUAUUAAAAAAACAUAUUUUUUUUGGAUUUUUGAUGUUUUUCGCUAUUUUUUGAAUUUUUCUUAAAAUUUAUCAAAACAUGAAUAAAAAUUGAGUGUAACAAUUAUCAUUGACUAAAAACCUAACUUACAAAUUGUACUUAUCAUACAACCAUCCUUCUCAUCUCUUUCAUGCAAAUGGCUCUAAGAAAUUGUCUGCAAAUGAAAGCAUUGGAUAAAAAAAGACAGUUUGCAAUAUUUCCUACCUUUCAAUUACAGGAAAGGAUAAAGGAUGACUUGGUCAUCUUCCAUUAGCUAACCAUUUUCUUUCUAGUCCCAUCAUUGUUUGUUUUUGUAUUUAAAAGUGAUUGAGUGCAUUUGAUUGGAAAAAAAAAAACAAAUUAAUGGAUUUUUAGAGCUUUUUGAUGGUUUAUAAAUAUUGAUAUAAAAAAUUAUUUUAAUAAAUUUUCAAGUAAAAAAUACUUUUUAAAAACACGUUACCUUACAAUACUAGAUGCAUAUAGAAUAUGUUUUUGAGAGUGCAGCUGUGAUUGCUUUUCAAAGUGUUUUUCACUCAGAAAUACAUCAACAUAAUGUUAUUUUAUUUUUUAAAAAUACUAAAACAUAUAUUAAUUUUAAACAAAAAAAUUCUAAAAUUUUUAGAAUCGCAAAUUGAACCAUGUUCCCAUCAGUGUUCCUGUCAGGACAUUUCCACGCUGCAUGCCAGUAAAAAUAGACAGCACCAUAACCUUCGUGGUUGCUUCUAACAAGAAUCUUUUUUCCUUGAAAGACAUAAUGUAAGGAGAGGUGUCCCUUUCUGAGAUGUAUGUUCUCAAAAGAAAAGUCUUCUUAAUAGAAUAUUAAAUUCUUCUUUAUUCUUUGCAAAAAUAUUAAAUUAUUUUUUUUAUUCUUUGCAAGAAUAUUAAAUUCUUCUUUAUUCUUUACAAUUUUAUUAUAAAUAAAUAAAAAAUUCAUAAAACAAGUACAAACACACACAUACACUUUUACUAUUUUUUUUUCUUUUUUUCUUACACACUACAAAUUAUACAAAUUCAAAAAAAAAAAAAAAGCAAAGCAAAAAUUACAUUAAAUACUUUAAAAAUUACAAAACAGACCCCAAAAAAUCCUUAAUAAUGUUGGGAAACAUUCUGGACCUGCAUGAAUAGUGGUGGCGCGUUAAAAGUCAAACGCGUUCCAAAGUUUUUUGAAAAUUUAAAAUUCUUUUGAGACGAUGCUGAAAAUGGUAAAAACAAUGCAAAUAUAUUAAAAAAAAAACAUAUUUGUGUUUGGAGUUUUGAUGUUUUUCGCUAUUUUUGAAUUUUUCUUAAAAUUUAUCAAAACAUGAAUAAAAAAUUGAGUAGUAACAAUUAUCAUUGACUAAAAACCUAACUUACAAAUUGUACUUAUCAUACAACCAUCCUUCUCAUCUCUUUCAUGCAAAUGGCUCUAAGAAAUUGUCUGCAAAUGAAAGCAUUGGAUAAAAAAAGACAGUUUGCAAUAUUUCGUACCUUUCAAUUACAGGAAAGGAUAAAGGAUGACUUGGUCAUCUUCCAUUAGCUAACCAUUUUCUUUCUAGUCCCAUCAUUGUUGGUUUUUGUAUUUAAAAGUGAUUGAGUGCAUUUGAUUGGAAAAAAAAAAAAAACAAAAUUAAUGGAUUUUUAGAGCUUUUUGAUGGUUUAUAAAUAUUGAUAUAAAAAAUUAUUUUAAUAAAUUUUCAAGUAAAAAAUACUUUUUAAAAACACGUUACCUUACAAUACUAGAUGCAUAUAGAAUAUGUUUUUGAGAGUGCAACUGUGAUUGCUUUUCACAGUGUUUUUCACUCAGAAAUACAUCAACAUAAUGUUAUUUUAUUUUUUAAAAAUACUAAAACAUAUAUUAAUUUUAAACAAAAAAAUUCUAAAAUUUUUAGAAUCGCAAAUUGUACCAUGUUCCCAUAAGUGUUCCUGUCAGGAUAUUUCCACGCUGCAUGCCAGUGAAAAUAGACAGCCCCAUAACCUUCGUGGUUGCUUCUAACAAGAAUCUUUUUUCCUUGAAAGACAUAAUGUAAGGAGAGGUGUCCCUUUCUGAGAUGUAUGUUCUCAAAAGAAAAGUCUUCUUAAUAGAAUAUUAAAUUCUUCUUUAUACUUUGCAAAAAUAUUAAAUUAUUUUUUUUAUUCUUUGCAAGAAUAGUAACUUCUUCUUUAUUCUUUACAAUUUUAUUAUUAAAAAAAAAAAUCAUAAAACAAGUACAAACACACACAUACACUUUUACUAUAUUUUUUUUCUUUUUUUCUUUUUUUCUUACACACUACAAAUUAUACAAAUUCAAAAAAAAAAAAGCGAAGCAAAAAUUACAUUAAACACUUUAAAAAUUACAAAACAGACCCCAAAAAAUCCUUAAUAGUGUUGGGAAACAUUCUGGACCUGCAUGAACAGUGGUGGCGCGUUAAAAGUCGAACGCGUUCCAAAGUUUUUUGAAAAUUUAAAAUUCUUUUGAGACGAUGCUGAAAAUGGUAAAAACGAUGCAAAUAUAUUAAAAAAAACAUAUUUGUUUUUGGAUUUUUGAUGUUUUUCGCUAUUUUUGAAUUUUUCUUAAAAUUUAUCAAAACAUGAAUAAAAAAUUGAGUAGUAACAAUUAUCAUUGACUAAAAACCUAACUUACAAAUUGUACUUAUCAUACAACCAUCCUUCUCAUCUCUUUCAUGCAAAUGGCUCUAAGAAAUUGUCUGCAAAUGAAAGCAUUGGAUAAAAAAAGACAGUUUGCAAUAUUUCCUACCUUUCAAUUACAGGAAAGGAUAAAGGAUGACUUGGUCAUCUUCCAUUAGCUAACCAUUUUCUUUCUAGUCCCAUCAUUGUUUGUUUUUGUAUUUAAAAGUGAUUGAGUGCAUUUGAUUGGAAAAAAAAAUCCAAAAUUAAUGGAUUUUUAGAGCUUUUUGAUGGUUUAUAAAUAUUGAUAUAAAAAAUUAUUUUAAUAAAUUUUCAAGUAAAAAAUACUUUUUAAAAACACGUUACCUUACAAUACUAGAUGCAUAUAGAAUAUGUGUUUGAGAGUGCAGCUGUGAUUGCUUUUCAAAGUGUUUUUCACUCAGAAAUACAUCAACAUAAUGUUAUUUUAUUUUUUAAAAAUACUAAAACAUAUAUUAAUUUUAAACAAAAAAAUUCUAAAAUUUUUAGAAUCGCAAAUUGAACCAUGUUCCCAUCAGUGUUCCUGUCAGGACAUUUCCACGCUGCAUGCCAGUAAAAAUAGACAGCACCAUAACCUUCGUGGUUGCUUCUAACAAGAAUCUUUUUUCCUUGAAAGACAUAAUGUAAGGAGAGGUGUCCCUUUCUGAGAUGUAUGUUCUCAAAAGAAAAGUCUUCUUAAUAGAAUAUUAAAUUCUUCUUUAUUCUUUGCAAAAAUAUUAAAUUAAUUUUUUUUUAUUCUUUGCAAGAAUAUUAAAUUCUUCUUUAUUCUUUACAUUUUUAUUAUAAAUAAAAAAAAUUCAUAAAACAAGUACAAACAUACACAUACACUUUUACUAUUUUUUUUUCUUUUUUUCUUACACACUACAAAUUAUACAAAUUCAAAAAAAAAAAACAAAGCAAAAAUUACAUUAAACACUUUAAAAAUUACAAAACAGACCCAAAAAAUCCUUAAUAGUGUUGGGAAACAUUUUGGACCUGUAUGAAUAGUGGUGGCCCGUUAAAAGUCGAACACGUUCCAAAGUUUUUUGAAAAUUUAAAAUUCUUUUGAGACGAUGCUGAAAAUGGUAAAAACGAUGCAAAUAUAUUAAAAAAACAUAUUUGUUUUUGGAUUUUUGAUGUUUUUCGCUAUUUUUGAAUUUUUUUUAAAAUUUAUCAAAACAUGAAUAAAAAAUUGAGUAGUAACAAUUAUCAUUGACUUAAAACCUAACUUGGAAAUUGUACUUAUCAUACAACCAUCCUUCUCAUCUCUUUCAUGCAAAUGGCUCUAAGAAAUUGUCUGCAAAUGAAAGCAUUGGAUAAAAAAAGACAGUUUGCAAUAUUUCCUACCUUUCAUUUAUAGGAAAGGAUAAAGGAUGACUUGGUCAUCUUCCAUUAGCUAACCAUUUUCUUUAUAGUCCCAUCAUUGUUUGUUUUUGUAUUUAAAAGCGAUUGAGUGCAUUUCAUUUGAAAAACAAAAAGAAUAUAAAAUUAAUGGAUUUUUAGAGCUUUUUAAAGGUUUUUAUAUACUGAUAUAAAAAAUUAUUUUAAUAAAUUUUCAAAUAAAAAAUAUUUUUUAAAAACACGUUACCUUACAAUACUAGAUGCAUACUGAAUUUGUGUUUGAUAGUGCAGUUGUGAUUACUUUUCAAAGUGUUUUUCACUCAGAAAUACAUCAAAAUAAUAUUAAUUUUAAAAAAAUAUAUUUUAAAACCACUAAAAAUUUUAUUAAUUUUAAACAAAAAAAUUCUAAAAUUUUAAGAAUCACAAAUUAAACAAUGUUCCCAUCAGUGUUCCUGUCAGGACAUUUCCACUCUGCAUGUCAUUAAAAAUAGACAGCUCUAGAACCUUCGUGGUUGCUUAUAAUAAGAUUUUUUUUUCUUUGAAAGACAUAAUGUAAGAAGAGCUGUCCCUUUCUGAGAUGUAUGGUCUCGAAAAAAAAAGUCUUUUAUAUAAUUGCUUUCCAGUAUUGUUUGAUUAACAAUAGUGUUUGAUGGCCGUGCCUUGCAUGUAGGCCCGUGCCACUAACUUAAGCCACGCAGUUUUCUUUCUCUUCUGCCUUGUGAGAGAUGUAAUUUGAGAACAUAACAUAUCAGCAGGAUAGUUCCUGCUACGAGGAAGCCACUGAGAGCUCUUACAAGGUUAUGUUGAAGAUAGCCAAAUAACUACAUGGCCAAAGGAAUUUUAAUAGACAUCUCAAGUUUAAUAGAUUUUUUAAUUUUAACAAAAGCUUUUUGACUAAUCAAACUAUGUUUUCUCCAUGGUUGAGCAAAAAUCAAAAGCUACACAAUACCAAACCACCUCUUACUAUUUUUAUCACCUGUGCUCUUGUUUGUUCUUCUGCGCAAAUGUGAAAUAGUAUAUCAUAAGCAGUUUAAACGACAAAUCAGAAACGCUUUGCAUAUACAGAAAAAUGCUGCUCCAACCAUGUGUUUGAACAGCAAUUUUAUGAUAUCUUUCUGUUUAGACAACAAGAUGAGCCUCUUUCAGGCAACAAAAAUAAACACCAGACACAGUUUCACUGUGCAUGGAAACCUCCAACCAAGUAAAUUCUCUUUAUCAAGACAUCCCUCUUGCCUCUUUUUGUUAAAGUUACAGGGUCACUCUUCCAAAUGACAUUAAUUUUUCAGGACAAUAUUAAUAUAAUUCCAUGCAAAUCCAAACUAAAACACUAAGAACCCUGGACAAUGAGCAAUGUAGCAGAAGAUAUUUGGCGGACACACUUCAUCAAGUUUUCAGUUUCAUCUUCUUAAUUUCAAUAGCAAUGUAAAAUAACUCAUUACAGCAUCGCUAACACAAAAUCUAUCAUUAACAGGCACAUAUUCUGAACCACUGACAGCCAACCCACCAUUAAGAUCUAGUCAGCUCAUCUCUGUAACUACAUCCCAAAAACAAAGUCCAAUACAGUUGUUAAUAACAGCAAUAAAAAAUUCUUCCAAAUGCCGUCAUAACAUAUUUUUGAGAAGCUUUUCAGGAAAAAAAUGUAGUAUAUAUACAAUGACUUGAUACACAAGACUCAAGAGUAUACACAAUGAACUGCUGCUUCACAAGCUUUAGCACUCCAAAGGCACUGAACUUAUUAGUUACAAUACAAAAAAAUACGUCUAGACAAAUGCCAUUUUUAAUUAGAGAAUUACCAGGGAAAUGUAACACCUACCAAGCAUGGUGAAAAGAAAAAAAUAAACUCAGACAGACCACUUCAAUUAGUUGAACUGCAUUCCACAGCCAUUUAAAUCUUCAACCUAUAAAUAUUCCAGGACCAUUGCUAUGAUCUUGUAGCAGAUGACACAGAGAGAUUGCUCUUCCCUUGUAAAAUGAUGAAUAUAACUUUGAUCAGGGAUGAUAGUGAAGUAAAAGCACAGGGGGCUAUCUGUGGUAAAUGUUUGAUGACAUAUAAGAUUGGCAUAGCAGACAUGAGAGUAGAACAUUGGAGAGUGUGUUAAACCUAUUAUUGACCAUGAUACUUCCCCACCCCUUUUAUUCUCAAGAACUUAUGAUGAUAGAAUUCAUCAAAGGACAGGCGUUGAACUGCAACAAGAGAGAUACAAAAAAAUGAAUGGUUCCACAAAUGAAUCAGGAGGGAAGAAAGAAAGAUAUGUUUCGUUGGGGUCAGGCCAUGUACUAAACCUGGAUUUGCAGAAAGAAGUCUUGAACAUAUAUCAACACAGUCCGGAUGCAACCCUGGAAGGAUGUGUUGAGAGAAAGGAAGGCAUGAACUUGACUUGAUGUUCUGCAGCAACUGAGGUCAAGAGAACUUCUUUUAUUAGAGACUGGAGCGAUCACAAUUCAAGGAUUAUAAACUUACAGAAAAGACACUACCUGGAAAUUAGUCCUGCCACGAAAAGGUGGGUAACCAUUAAGAAGCUCAAAAAGAAUUACACCAACACUCCACAUGUCAACCUAUACAAGGAAGCACUGUUAUUCAAUAAAUUCUAUUCUGAAGCAAAGAAAGCAAUGCACCAAAGGAAAACAUUAGCAAAUCUUUACCUUACAAUCAUAUCUUUGAAAUUGAAGAACUUCUGGAGCCAUGUAAAAUGGAGAUCCGCAUACUGUCUCCACAUAGUUAUUAGGAAGCACCCUUCUAUUUAAAGAUGAGAAAGAUGAAAGUAAAAUUAAUACAUUGCCUGACAUGUCUUCAACAAAUUUUUGGCAUUUUUUCUUAAUUAAGGGGAGAAAAAUUAACAUAGUUUCAUAGUGGUCUCCCUGAAACUUUCCAGGAAACCAUCCCAUGAACUUUCUUCUACCAAAAAGUUACCUCGAUAAACCAAAAUCAGCUAUUUUGAGCACCACAUCGCUCUCCUUGCCAGAAAGGAGAAUGUUCUACAACAAAUUGACCAAUGUAAGCCAGUUUCAAGGCAACUCAAUCUUCAGCCAACAAUUUUGAACUCCACCAUAGGUAAAAGAAUUGCAUGUACAACACCUCAUACCUCAGGUUUCAAGUCUCUAUGAAUAAUAUGAUGGCUCUGCAGAAUUUUCAAACCAUCCCCUGAACCAUAUAAAUCAUCGAGAUUACAAUUAUGUAAAUAGGGAUGCGAAACAAGCAACUCAUAUGUUGUACAGUGAAACAGAUAUCAAAUGACCGCUACCCAUCUGUUGUGUAAAUCUUUUAGCAAUCUUCUCUUGAACUCUCCCAUGUUGUUGAAGAUAAGAAGCUAGAUUUCCUCCAGAACAAAACUCUAGGACCAGGAACACGCAACAUUCAUCCUGAGAUUGCAGAUAUUCUGAUUUGCAGAAAUGAAAUAUUAUGGAAACAGAAAGCAUAUAAAUCACAGCUACAGAAGGUAGAAACAGAUCAAGUUAAACUCGAAAUGAGAUUCUCCUUUACAUAUGUCAAGCUUUUAGUUACAUGUAUCCUUCUACAUCAUUCCACUUUAUCUAGAUCAAUGUCCUCACUGGUUCAGUCAUUUAAGAAUUUCAAGGAUUCAUGUUAAUGGAAUUAAUAAUUAGAGUAACUAGCAUUUAUCUACAAUUCUUCAAGAGAUGACAGCUUGGAUAGAGAGCAGGAAAUGAGUUGUAGAUAUUGCUAAGUAGAAAACACCUAGGUCAGUGGCCUUCAACACUACAUUUGCCAGCACGAUCAAAAUUAAUCUAACCACUGUUUCUCAUGGGUAAUCAGGUCUUUGAGGGUAUUUAGUGGAGAAACUAAAUAAAAUCAUGCUCUGUCCUUUUUUCUCCUCAAUCAUGGUGAAUGGAGAGCAUAAGUUUUUUAUUCUGGUAUUCCAUGGUCCACAGUCCUUAGUAUGAUGUCUGAUACAAAGGGUAGAUAAUGAGCUAGUGAAAAAAUGUUGUUGAGGACAUUUUGCUUCUCAUAUGUGCUUUGCAAUGACACCAUUCAUAAUAAGUCUGUAGAAAGACGGGGGCUUGAUGACAUGCUUCCUUUCUUGCAGAUUUUGGAAAAUGUCUGAUUUAAGGUUAAACACAUAGAAGAUGAGAAUUAUGGGUAUUUUCAUCCAGGACUUGAAUUGGUUCUCAAUUAUCCCUCUAUAGCCCAGUGUGUUGCCAGGGUUGGCCCUUGGCAUGUUUAGAGGUCCCCAUGGUGGCAAUCCACAUUUUCCAACCUUUUAGAAUUUGGUUGAAUCAAAUUCUAAUCUCUCUUACUUUGCUUUAAUAUUUUAAGCAUGAUAGAUGCACUACUACUCCAUAUACUCUUUUGGAGCACCAUGUCUAACAACAAUGCUUCUGUGAACAUCAUGCCUAGAUUCAUCUCCACAUUCCACAUUACUCCAUCAACUCAACAGUAUUUUAAGAUUGCAUCCUCAAUCCAAGACAUUAAAUUGCUAAGCCACAAAUCCCAUCUCAAGAUGAAUAAUAAUUGACUUCAAAAAUAAUCCAAGCUAUCUUGAGUAAAACAAGCCCUGCUUCUAAUUCAACAUUUACAACAGAAAGGAACCCUAAAAAACAAAAUCAACCAACUUUUCCAUUAUUUUCCCUAAAUCAACAUAUUUUCAUAAAAGGGCAUGCUAAAAAUCACCUAAAUAAUCAAAACCGAGUAAAAAAAAAAAUUCAAUCACAAAAGAAAUUUACAACAAGGGUUACCCUACAAAUCCCCUAAGCAUCAAACCAACCAGCUCUACAAUCAAUCAAACAACACAAAUCAGCCUACAACAUCAACACCAACAACAAAUUUACUCAAAAGGGUAUGGAAACCUUACCUCAAAGACAUCAAGAAGGCGAAUGAUGUUGGGGUGAUUGACAGAAGACAAGAAAUUAAGCUCACAAUCUAAGCAGUUCCUCAAAUUCUUGUUGAGUUUAGAGAGAUAAACUUGCUUCACUGCCACUUCCUCCCCUGUUAUUUUGUUCUCGGCUUUCCAUACUGUGGAAAAAGAGCUUUCACCUAGUUUUGAUUUCAGGAUGUAGUUUCCGAUUGUGUGAGAUUCUGAGAGAUUCUUUUGUUGCUUCAAGAUCCAUUUCUGUUGGUUUUGGAUGGUUCGACAAAGAGUACUGAAAACGUUGUAGUACUAUUUUGCCUUGGAUUUUUGUUCUUCUGUUUUUGUCAUAUGUCUGUUUGUGAACGUGGCAGAGGUAAAGAGAUGAGAGUCUAGAUUUUCUUUAUCGAUAAAUUAUAUUUUAGGCACUGUGGCUCGUGCUAUACAGAUUAUUUUUUUGAACUAACAUAUUUUUUAAUAAAAAAAUUAAUUAUGAAUUAUGAGAAUAAUAUUUUUUUAAAAUAAAAUAAUAAGAGUUAAUUGCUUGAAAUAACAUAUUAAAAUCUCAUUUUAAUUAAGGAAAUAAUCACAGUUUGAUUAAAGCACACAAAAAAAAAAAAAAUUCUUCUUCAUUUUCUUUCUUGGCCAAAAACUAACUUUUUUUUUUUUUUUUUUAUAUGUUAGCUUUCACUCUUAAAAUUAAAUCAAAGUAGCUUUUUAUACAUACUUAAAAGAUUUUAAAUCUUUUUUUUCCUUUUUUAUCUUAGUUUAUAUCAAUUAUGAUCCAAAAGAAAAGAAAAGUGAUUAAAGCCCAAUAAUUCUCCACCUUUUUACUCAAUUAGGGGCUUUACCAAGCCUGCUUAUCUUAUCUUCUACAUAACUCAAAUACAUAUUUUUAUUAUUAUAGAUUUUCUCAACAAUAAAAGACUUAAACUCUAUAAAAUCUUGAAUCCAUUAACAUUUAACUUUAAUGUGUUUUAAUCAAGAAUAAAAAAUAGGAUACUUGUUCAGAUGAAUUGCUCUUAGACUAUUGUAUCACAACACAACGUUCUAUUGCUUUAACUGUCUUGGAGCUUACUUUAACCUAUAAACACUUAUUUUUAACUUACAAACUAGUUUCUCUUUAUCUUUUACUUCACUCUUUAGGCUAUUUUAUAUAUAUUUUCUCAUUAAAGUCACCAUAGAGCUCUUCAACUUCAAGAUUCAAACUAGUAGUUGUACCAAGCAUAACAUGCAUUGAAGAUAUUUGGAUUAUGGGUGAAAAGAUUUCCUCUAAAUAAAUAUUCUGUUCAAAACUUAUUAUAAAUAAUCUUGUCUUGUACCUUGGUUAUGAAAGAUUUUCUUCAAUUUUUAACAUGAUUAUCUAUUUUUUUUUAAGAAAAAACCUUGUAAAAGGGUUCUAAUAAAUAAAAAAUACAAUAAUAACUCUGAAUUUUAAUUUAUCAUCAUUAAAAGUCUUCCCUAUUUAUAUAGAUAUCAAGAAAUUAAACCCUAGUAUUCUAAACUAAAUAAAUUUUAAAUGUAAGAAAUUACAAACAAACAAUAAACUUUCCUUUUUCCUACACAACAUCAUAUAAUUUGUCAAAAGAUAUGCUAAUGAUGCUGGAGUUGUGAUUGAGAUUGGACUGCUGAAAGCUCUCUGCAAGCUGUUACAGGAAAUAUUUAUUUGAUUUCAUAGACAAAUGAAUCUUUACAGUGGUCUACAUGAAUGGUACGAUGGCAAAGCUGGGCUGCGUCAUUUGCCAAUUGUGCCGAAGAGAAGAUGGACAUCAUCUGUGCUUGUUGCAUCAAUUGGUGGCGAUUAAUUUGUGGAUGAUGAGGUUGCUUCAUUUACACUACUUUCUCCUUAGAUCUGCGUUGUGACUAUUCUGACAAGAGAUAGUGUAUAGUUUUAUUAUGUUCAUACAAGAUUAAUUCCUCAAAGUAUAACACUUGCUUUCUGUUUAUAUAAUUUCUUGAUGGUGUAAGCAACUAAACGUCUUUCUUUCUAAUAUCUAACUUUAGCUGUCAGACGUAUGAAGGUGGUAUUGCAGGAGAAUCAGGUCACCUUUACACACAAAAGUUGCCUCUAACUAUGUAUUCUCUCUUUUAAAUUUAUUCUAAUUUUGCCUGGAUCCCAACACAAUACAGGUAUCAUUUGAGGAUCCCAGUCUCAAUGUCAGGGCUCUAAGUGAAAAUCCCGAUUUUUAACCUGGAUUAAUCCCAAUACAAACUGGCCAUAGCCUUGGCAAGUGUUUUUCCAAGUAUUAUGGUGUUUGUUUAAUUACCUGGGGCCUAGUAUGGUGUCAUCCAGCCUUUACAAACAGAGAAAGUCAUGAAAGAUUUUGAAUUAAGCUCACUCCAGUUCAUAUACUCCACCUGUAGUAGAUGCCUAUAUUUUCUAUUUAUGGUAUUCUUGCCUGGAUUACAUUUUUAUUAGAGACUUGCAGAUCACUGGCAAUGUUUUCCUAACUAAAAAUUAGAAUCUGUGUUGCCAACUUUGCUCACUCUAUGGCGUUAUGGUCCUGAUUCUUAUUCCAUGCCGACCUGGGUCUUAUCCCAAACUGGCACCUGGCUUUAAUUAAGCCUCUACCAGAAUGUUCACUUCUGAGCUAUCUGCAUUCAUUUCCUUAGAAAGCAGACAAUAUACUUUCAAGUGGAGUGGAAAGUUGCAAUCUCACUCGAACAGUAACAAAUGCAAUUAAGAAUGCAUGCAAAAGCUGAAAAUAAAAAAAAAACAAAAUAAAUACACGUUCAAGUGAAUUUGCCUUCUUUGGUUACUGUUCAAGUGAAUUAAAUUUCAGUGCCAAUCUCUUAACAUGCAAAAUGCAAAAACUGGGAGAGUAGAGACACGACUUACCUGGUCCGUUGGCCACCCUGACUAUUUCAGUCCUCCACUGUUUUUGGUUCUUUGUUUUGCUUUCGUUUCUCUUCUCUCCCUCUCCUCUGUUCUGUAUUCCGUUUUCUUUUCUUUCACAAUGACGAAAGGAUGAAAGAAAGAAACCCCUCUGAUCCCCAAGAUAUAAUGUAAGGAGAGCUGUUCCUUUCUGGAACGUAUGGUCUCAAAAAAAAGUCUUUUAUAUAGUUGAUUUUCCAGUAUUGUUUGAUUAACAGUAGUGUUUGAUGGCUCUGUGCCUUGCAUGUAGGCCCGUGCCACUAACUUAAGCCACGCAGUUUUCUUUCUCUUCUGUCUCAUGAGAGAUGUAAUUAGAGAACAUACAUAUCAGCAGGAUAGUUCCUGCUAAGAGGAAGCCACUGAGAGCUCUUACAAGGUUUUACUUACAAAUUGCUUAACCAGGAAUACGAGCAUGAGAAGACAAGGGAUGCAUGAAACUUUGUUUCCCUUUGUCUGGUGAGGUUGAUGAUAGCCAAAUAACUACAUGGCCCAUGGAAUUUUAACAUCUCAAGUUUAAUAGAUUUUUUAAAUUUUAUAGUGAUAUUUUUUUAAAAAAAUUAACGUGGAUAUACGGAUUAGUUGAGACGUAUCUCAACUAAUCGUACUAAAAUUUAAUAGAUUUCUUAAAUUUUCUUAACUUGCUCACAAUUUUUUAUGAGGUUAUACUGCACUACCGACAAACUUAGUGCAUUAACUUAACAUCUUCCAUUAGAAAUAGAAUCAGCAAUUCAUUUCCUCCUUGUUUGCUCAAUGCAAAGACAAUGUCAACCUCCUUACAAUCUAUCAUGAGAAUUUGGGAGAUGAUAUGCAAAGCACUCUUUGCUGUGACGGUGACCUGACUUACAAGUUGAAUCUUUUGCGGGGCCUGCAAUCGUUCCAAUCUUUACAUCCUGUGUGCCAAACAAGUUGGAAAAGCACAAGACGAGCGUCUUGCAUUAUAGCUUUUGGUUCACCUUCUGAAAUAAAAGGAUGGUCCCAAAAGACAAAAAGAAAAAAGAAAAAAGAAAAAAAUGAAAGGACAUCCAGUCUAGAGAGAUAAUUUUGAAUUUUCUUUGUUUCCUUACGGGUUGAUGAAAGAUAAAAACGUUUUUAUGAUUUUCCCAACCAAAAUUAUUAAAUAUUACAUAAUUUCAAUCUACACUUUUACUUUUGGAUAUAGGCCAUUGACCUUGCUUGAGUUAAUUUUCCGAAUUCAAAGUCGAAAACAUAAAAAAAAACCCAUAAGAUAUUAAAAAUAAGAAUAGAGGGAGUAAAAUUAAUUAUUUAUGUGUGACAACAUAUAAUUAGAAAAUUUCGUCAACAGAAUAAAAGGAUAUGUGACUUUUAUAAAUUUAAUCAUUUAUGUGUGACAACAAGUAAUACAUACAUAUAUAUAUAUAUAUAUAUAUAUAAUGGCUGAUGGAAAACAAACCCUUAAUUGUAUUAGGGUCUUGAACUCAUAGAAAUCCAAUGAAAUAUAUAGGCUGUGUAAAUACAGUCCAUUUGUUCCAUAGGCUGACUGCGCCCCAGCUUCCAAGCCUAAGCUUUCCUAGAUAGGGUGCAGCCUAUGUUCCAUCCAAAGCCCAAGCUAGCUAGGGGGUGGUUUCAGCCCAUAAUUCUUUUUUUUUUUUUUUAAAUUAAAAAUAUAUUUUUUAAAAAUAAUUAAUAUUAUUUUAAUAUAUUUUAAAAUAAAAUAAAUUUUAAAAAAUAAUUUUUACCACAUUUCCAAACUAUACUUCAUAUUUUUUCUUUAUAUAUAUAUAUGAAAAAAAUAAUGAGCAGUUUUAUAUUUUUUUCAAAGAAUAAAAUUGAGAAUUUAGUAUUUAUAUGUGUUAAAUAAUAUUUAUGUAGUAUUAUUUAUUAAUGGUAGAAUAGUACUUUCAGUUUAACCUAUAUAUACUUUAUUUGUAUUUAGGUUAAGACUAUGCAUUCAUAAUAUACAGAUUAUUCAGAAUUCUAGCCUCUCUUUUGUGAUUGAUCUCAAUAAGUUUAACAUGAUAUCAGAGCUGGUUUUAUGAAACGAGGCUUAAUCCCAAAUACAGCUUCGCGGAUCCAACUGCAAAAUUAGGUAUUUCGACAGUUUCUUUUUGGAGUGAUAUUUUGUCUUAACAAGAUUAAGUUUCUUUGCUUAAUCCCAAUUUUUUUUUGGAGUGAUAUUUUGUUUUCCGCUUCUGCAAAAUUAGGUAUUUCGACAGUUUCUGCAAUUAUUUUGGUAUUUCGUCUUCCCUUCAGCAUCUGCAAUUUGGUAUUUGCGUUCAGUUUUUGCAAAUUUGUUUUGUGUUUUGGAGUAAUCGUAUAAUUUCGAGAAGAGAUUUGUUUAGUUUCUGCAAUUUAGUAUUUUGUUUCCGCUGCUUUUGCAUUCUGGUUAUUUGUGAUUGCUGAUUAUGGCUACUGAAAGAGAUGAUUCGCUUCAGUCUGUGAGUGUGAGGUUGGAUGGGAAGAACUAUUCGUAUUGGAGUUAUGUAAUGAGAAAUUUCCUUAAGGGUAAGAAGAUGUGGGGGUAUGUUAGUGGAACUUAUAUGAUACCUAAGAAUAUUGAGGAGGGGGAUGUUGUUUGAUAGAUACAUGGGAAGCAAAUAAUGCAAAGAUCAUUACUUGGAUCAACAAUUCUGUUGAGCAUUCGAUAGGUAUGCAGUUGGCGAAGUAUGAGACAGCAAAAGAGGUUUGGGAUCAUCUGCAAAGGUUAUUCACACAAUCAAAUUUUGCAAAACAGUAUCAAUUAGAGAAUGACAUACGAGCUCUUCAUCAGAAGAAUAUGAGUAUCCAAGAGUUUUAUUCUGCUAUGACAGAUCUUUGGGAUCAAUUGGCUCUUACAGAAUCGACAGAAUUAAAGGCAUGUGGUGCCUAUAUUGAGCGUAGAGAGCAGCAACGAUUGGUACAGUUUUUAACAGCACUUCGCAGUGAUUUCGAAGGACUUAGAGGUUCAAUUCUGCAUCGUUCUCCACUGCCUUCUGUUGACUCUGUUGUUAGUGAGUUAUUGGCUGAAGAAAUACGUCUUCAGUCUUAUUCUGAAAAGGGAAUUCUUUCUGCUUCAAAUCCUUCAGUAUUAGCAGUGCCUUCUAAGCCAUUCUCUAAUCAUCAGAAUAAGCCUUACACAAGGGUUGGCUUCGAUGAGUGCAGUUUCUGUAAGCAGAAAGGUCAUUGGAAGGCUCAGUGUCCUAAGUUGAGACAGCAGAAUCAAGCUUGGAAGUCUGGCAAUCAGUCACAAUCUAAUGCUCAUAGACCACCUCAGGGUUAUAAACCACAACACCACAAUACUGCAGCAGUAGCUUCCUCGAGUUCUAUUACCGAUCCUAAUAUUUUGGCUGAGCAAUUUCAGAAGUUUCUCUCCUUGCAGCCACAAGCAAUGUCCGCUUCUUCUUCCAUAGGUCAGUUGCCUCAUAGUUCCUCAGGUAUGUCACAUUCUGAAUGGGUCUUGGAUUCUGGUGCUUCUCAUCAUAUGUCUCCAGAUUCCUCAUCUUUUACCUCUGUAUCCCCUUUGUCCUCCAUUCCUGUUAUGACUGCUGAUGGCACUCUAUGCCCUUAGCAGGUGUUGGUUCUGUUGUCACACCUCACAUGUCUCUCCCUAAUGUUUAUCUUAUUCCAAACUCAAAUUGAAUCUUGCGUCUGUUGGUCAAAUAUGUGAUUCUGGUGAUUAUUUAGUCAUGUUUUCUGGUUCUUUUGUUGUAUACAGGAUCUGCAGUCUCAGAAGCUGAUUGGGACAGGCCGUAGGAGAAUGGACUAUAUAUUUUGGAUGAGUUAAAAGUGCCAGUUGCUGCUGCUGCCGCUGCUGCUACUACCGUUGAUUUGUCUUCCUUUCGUUUGAGUCUUUCAUCUUCUAGUUUUUAUUUAUGGCAUUCCCGUCUAGGUCAUGUUUCGUCUUCUCGUUUGAGAUUUUUGGCAUCCACAGGAGCUUUAGGAAAUUUGAAAACUUGUGACAUUUCUGAUUGUAGUGGAUGUAAAUUGGCAAAAUUUUCCGCCUUACCUUUUAAUCGAAGUAUUUCUGUUUCUUCUUCACCAUUUGAUUUGAUUCAUUCUGAUGUAUGGGGACCUUCUCCUGUUGCCACAAAAGGAGGGUCUCGAUAUUAUGUCUCUUUUAUUGAUGAUCAUACUCGUUAUUGUUGGGUUUAUUUAAUGAAACAUCGUUCUGAAUUCUUUGAGAUAUAUGCAGCUUUUCGAGCUCUUAUCAAAACUCAACAUUCUACUGUGAUCAAAUGCUUUAGGUGUGAUUUGGUGGGGAAUACACACUUCUAAUAAAUUUUGCCAAUUGCUUGCCCUAGAUGGAACCAUCCACCAAACUUCAUGUACAGAUACUCCUGAGCAAAAUGGUGUUGCUGAAAGAAAACAUAGGCACAUUGUUGAAACUGCUCGUUCUCUCUUGUUGUCUGCUUUUGUUCCUAGUGAGUUUUGGGGAGAAGCUGUUCUUACUGCUGUAAGCUUGAUUAAUACAAUUCCAUCUUCUCAUAGUUCGGGUCUAUCUCCUUUUGAAAAGUUAUAUGGGUAUUCCUGAUUAUUCCUCAUUUAGAGUCUUUGGUUGUACUUGUUUCGUUCUUCGUCCUCAUGUAGAACGAAGUAAGCUAUCCUCUCGAUCCGCUAUUUGUGUUUUUUGGGCUAUGGUGAAGGUAAAAAGGGUUAUCGUUGUUUUGAUCCAAUAACUCAGAAACUUUAUGUGUCUCGUCAUGUUGUCUUCCUUGAGCAUAUACCUUUCUUUUCUAUUCCAUCCACUACUCAUAACCUGACCAAAUCUGAUGUUAUUAGUAUAGAUCCGUUUUCUGAGGAUUCUGAUAUCUCUCCCCAUGUUCGAUCAAUUUGUACUCAUAACUCUGCAGGUACUGGUACUUUACUCUCUGGCACACCUGAAGCUCCAUUCUCAUCUACAACCCCUCAAACUUCAUCUGAGAUUGUGGAUCCACCUCCAUGUCAGUCCAUCCGUAUUCGUAAGUCUACAAAACUACCAGAUUUUGCUUAUUCUUGUUAUUCUUCAUCAUUUACUUCCUUUUUAGCUUCUAUUAUUUAUUAAGGGUAGAAUAGUACUUUCAGUUUAACCUAUAUAUACUUUAUUUGUAUUUAGGUUAAGACUAUGCAUUCAUAAUAUACAGAUUAUUCAGAAUUCUAGCUUCCGUUUUGUGUUUGAUCUCAAUAAGUUUAACAAUAUGUACAAUUGUUUUUUUGCGUGUUUUUUUGUGGGUUGGACCAUGUUUUUUAAAUGUUUUAAAAUCUUUUCUAGCUCUAAAUUAUUUUAAAACUAUGAAUUUAGUAUUUAUAUGUGCAAUUUUUUUUGGUCCUCAAACCUUCUUUCAUAGUAUUUGUUCGUGUAAUUGUACCAUGGUUUUCAAAACUUUUGAAGGUUUUUUUAGUUUAAAAUUAGUUUUUUUAAAUUUUUGAAUCGUUUUAAUAAGUUGAUAUAAAAAAAUAAAAAAAAUAUUUAAAUAUAUUAAAAAAAAAUAUUUUGAAAAAAAAUAUUUCUUAUAGAUAAAGCUUUAAAUUUCUUUUUGUUGCCAUCUCUUUGAACAUAUUUUUGAUACUUCACAGGUCAAAUUGAAAGCAAAAACAGAUAAAAAAACCUUACAAAUCACUUCAAAUCCACGACCAUUUAACACACAAAUACAUGGUUACAUAUCACAUAUAGAUUAUGCAUAAAACAUGAGGCAAAUUAUUUGGAGACUAAGCGGUGCUGCGGAAUGGAGCUAUAGAUGGUGGAGUUGGAAUGUCACCGGACCCUUCAAGCAUCAAGAUCACAUUCUUGAUACAAGGACGUGAAGCUGGAUCAUGUUGAACGCACAGCAGUCCAAUCUUUACCAUUCUUUCCAGUGACUCGAAUUCUAUAUCUUCAUCCUUCACAAGCUUAUCCAACUGUCCAGCUGCAAAGCAUUGAUAUGCCCAACUGGGAAGAUUCAUUUCAUCUGGUGUUGAGACGUCUACUUUUAUACUGCUUCUGCAAACAAUGAUCUCCGAAGUACAACUCCAAAGCUGUAGAUAUCAGCUUUUACCGACAUCAAGGCGUUAUUCUGCCAUUCAGUGCCAUGUGCCCUCGACUCUGUGAGAGUGCCAUCGAGCUUCUUAUUCAUCUGGAUAUAAUAGCUUCGAUAAUCCGAAAUCGGAGAUUUUGGCCAUCCAAGAAUCAUCCAUGAGAAUGUUUUGAGGGGUUAUAUUGCAAUGGAUGAUGCAGGCUUGACACUCUUCAUGUAGAUAGAGUAUUCCUCGAGCUAUAUCCAGAGCAAUCCUCCUCUACUUUUCUUUCCAAAUGGGGCGCUCUCAGACUGGAAUAAAAGAUCGGCAAGGGUGCCGUUUCUCAAGUACUCGUAGACCGAGAACCCUUCCGAGAGCCCUCCACUCACAAAAACCAAGCAACCGAACCAAGUUUCUGUGAUAAGUUUGUCCAAUCACAGUGAUUUCUGCUCGAAACUUUCUUUUCCCCUUCAUCUAAAACUUUCUCAAGUCUCUUAACAGCAACAGUUCUGUCACCCUCAGGAUUGUCCCUCUGUAAACUGCACCAAUAGAACCCGCCCAGCCUCUCUCCCAUGAAACCACUGUAGCUUUCUCAAGCUCACUAUAAGAAAAUGACCGCAGAGUGAACUCUCCAAGCCAAGCUUAUGAUUCCCGACAGCUUUUCGUAAAGAUAAGCUCGAUCCCUGUACACGCAGAAAGUAGAGAUUGCAAUGACAAAACACAAGAAAGUAACAGAGCCGAAUGCUAUAGCAAGAAACACAAGCAAACUUUUCUUGCUUUCUAUGAUGAUUGUCCGGCUCAUUGGAGGUGCAGCAGGAGUUGGUUUAACUUUGAAGAAGGCUAUAGAUGAUUCGUUUAUAUCUUUUAUACCAUAUCGAAUUGGUGCAGUAUACUUUUCACACCUCUCAUUCUUAUAUAGAGCAACAUCACAAAGACAAUCUUCCAGGCAAGACAAACCACAAUUGUUUUUCUUCUCAUCUAGGACAGAAUAAGGAUAUCGUUCGAACAAUAUAUUCUCUACGGUUAUGACAUCGUACAUUUGCCCUUCUUUGGUGCCUGUGCAAAAACUUUCAGGGACAUUCUUGUAGCAUCCACUGAAUUUCUCACUGGGAUCAUUGAAAGCAAAUCCAGGAUAACAGGAACAGUCAGCAUUAGUGCCCAUGCCAGAGCAAUAACUGUUGAAAUCACAGAAGCCACGAACAUUGCAUUGAUUAUUCAACGCAGACCACUCAAUACGCACACUCCGGCUAGUUUUGUUCUCUAAGCAGUGUGAAUACAACCUGAAAAUCCCAUCAGCAUCAAGCGUCGCACGAAAGAUUGUUGUUUUGUUGUUACAGGGAUAAGAACUUCUUGCCAACAAGACUGGUUUUUUAGAGACCGUAUCCAUGAACAGAAAUCCCUGGGGAUUGAGAUAGAGACUCAACCCCUUUUUGCUGUCUUGAUAAGUAUCACUGGCCCAGUAAGCAUCAACAGAUAGACCAGCGCUGUUUGUAGGGUAGGCGACAAGGUUUCCAUCUGCCUGCAUCGCGAGGAAAAACCUUCCACUGGAGUGAUUUGAGCUCGACACACUUGAAAUCAAUUUAUCAGAAUAAGUAAGAUUCUGACCUACUAAUAUGGUGUCAGUUGGGUGAUCAAAGCUUUGCCAAAUAACAGAAGAACCAUUGUAAAGCACGAAAUUACCCGAAUCAAGCAUUGAAGCUGAAGCUGCGAUUUCUGAAACAUUAGCAAUAAGAUUUUCAUUGCCCUGCUCAGUUCGAAGAAGCAGCUUACCCUCUUCUGAUAAGUGAAUUGUAGCAUUGAAGGAGACUGGUUCAUCAUCUCGAUUUGCAGUCCAGACGACCGUGUUAUUAGGCUGACCCAUCAUCCAUAUUCCUACAGCAAAUCCAUUUCCCUGUGAAUAGAAGCCAAACGCAAAAUUGCCUGAAGGGGAUUGCCAUGAAUUUAAGUUAGAGAUGGGAGAUAACUGAGAACCUAAGUGUAUUUCACCAAAUCGGUUUGGUUGAGUUCUUGCUUCCACGAAGAGUAUAGAUAACAUUAGAAGCAGAAGCCCUGAUACCAAAGCCAUGCGGACAGGAGUGUGGUGUAAAGAGCCAAACAGAUACAGAAAAGCUAGCUAAUUUUUAGACUAUACCGGCUAAAUGUUAAUGUGAUGAAAAUUCUAGCAAACUUCAAAACUAAAACCGUGUGAAAUGAAACAUUAAGCGUUGAUUUAGACCCAUUUUCCGGUCUAAAUCAACGCUUAAUGUUUACAUACGUCUGCAACUUUUCUUAGAGUGGCCUCGUGUGGUGUUCCACAAAAGUCUACCAAACAUGUUAGACCAGUUGGCCGAGAGAAGUCAUUAUCUUCCUUCACUGAUACCCAGAAGCAACCCUCCAAGUCAAAAUAAUAAAGAAGCAGAAGCCCUGAGUUGAGAAUUACUGAAUGUCUUAGGUUUAGCCUUAGCCAACCUUUCCUAUUUAUAUAUGUAGGGAAGAAUACAGUAGUAACCAUAGGGAUUACAACAUUGGAUUAAUCCUACAUUACAUUAAUAUCCUAUGUAUAGAUAUACAUGAUAUACAUUCUAUAAUAUGCCCCCUCAAGCUGAGGGUGGAGGAUCGACCCGAAGCUUGAACCUGAAGGCAGUAAAGGACGCAGCGGAAAGUGGUUUGGUGAAGACAUCAGCAAGUUGAUCCUGAGAGGGGAUAAACCGAAUUUGAAUUUCCUUCUUUGCUACCCGGUCACGGACAAAAUGAUAGUCUACCUCAACAUGCUUAGUACGAGCAUGAAAGAUAGGAUUUGCCAGAGAUAAGUAGCACCAAGAUUAUCACACCAAAUAGUAGGAGCCGAGAUGGAGGGAACCUGAAGAUCUGUUAACAAAUAUUGAAGCCAGAUGACCUCAGCAGUACCAUCUGCUAAGGCUUUAUACUCAGCCUCAGUGGAAGAGCGAGCAACUGUACGUUGCUUGCCGGAUUUCCAUGAAAUCGGUGUUUGACCAAAGAAAACAAGAUAACCACCCGUAGACUUGCGAUCAUCAAUACUCCCAGCCCAAUCGCAUCUGUAAAACCAUGAAGAGCAAAGGAGGUACCUCGAGUGAUAUGAAAACCAUAAGAAGCCGUUCCUUUGAGAUAGCGGAGUAUGCGUUUAACAGCAGCCCAAUGGAAAUCUGUAGGAGCAUGCAUGUACUGACAGACUCUGUUAACAGCAAAACAGAUAUCUGGGCGAGUGAAUGUAAGAUACUGAAGAGCACCCACAAUUUGACGAAACCGUGUGGGAUCAGAAAAUGGAUGAUCCGGCUGUAGAGCAAGUUUAGAGGGAGAAACUGGAGUGUCAACCGGUUUGCAGGAAGUCAUACCAGCCCGAGUGAGGAUGUCAAGAAUAUAUUUUUGUUGGCGCAACAUCAGACCCAUACCUGUAGACUGAACUUCAAUACCUAGAAAGUAGUGAACAUCACCUAAGUCACGUAGCUUGAAUUCAGAGCUUAGUAACUGGACUAGAUGAUGGAGCAUGGCAGAGUUGCUGCCUGUAAGCAGAAUAUCAUCAACAUAGACGAGAAGAUAGAAGAUAUUAGUGCCAUCAGAUAAGAUAAACAGGGAAGUGUCAACCUUGGAGGCAAGGAAACCAAUAGAGAGUAAAAAAUCACUCAGACGAGUGUACCAUGCCCUUGGUGCCUGUUUUAAACCAUAUAGUGACUUGUGCAACCUGCACACAUGAGAUGGAAGAGUAGAAUCAACAAAACCUGGAGGUUGUUUCAUGUAGACCUCUUCAGUAAGAACACCAUUGAGAAAGGCAUUAUGAAUAUCAAGCUGAUGAAUCUUCCAAUUGCGGGAAACUGCAAUGGAAAAGACUAAUCUGACGGUGGCCUGCUUAAUAACUGGGCUGAAAGUUUCAGAAUAAUCAAUGCCUUCCUGUUGAGUAAAGCCUCUAGCAACUAGACGGGCUUUAUAACGUUCGAUGCUGCCAUCAACGACGUUUGAUGCGAUAUACCCAUCGGCUGCCCACAACAUUCAUCGAUGGAUGAAAGGGCACUAGAGACCAAGUAUGAUUGGAUCGUAAAGCCUUGAUCUCAUCACACAUGGCAUCAUGCCAAGCCACAUACUUAUCUGCAUCAGAAAAGGCAACAGGUUCAGAGGAAGGAGAGAGCAAUACCCGAGAAACAGCUGCAUUAGCGGCAACAGAGGACACCAUAUUGGCAUUUUUGGGCUGUCGUGAUCGAAGGAUCAUAGGGUGUCGGCUGAGAACUGGCUGUGACGCAGGUGAAGGAGGCAUGACAGAGGUGUCAUGAUGCAGCGGAGAGAUCCACCACCCGAUUUAGUCCAGGAGAAGAAUCCGGUGAAGAAGCUGCCGCAAGUGGAGAGCUGGCAGCAGAGGCAGAGUCGGCAGAAGCCGAAUUGGUGGCAGAAUAAAGAGGAGCUGAAGACAAGCCAGAGGAUCUCCCACUAUGCGCAAGGACUUCGUGCUGGAGAACAGGAAACACUGACCUGCAACCUGUAGCUGCAACAGUAUGGUUAGAUAAAGAUGCAUGGGGUGAGCGGCAAGGGAAAUAUGGGGCUGUGGUGCUUGAGUCGGCAGUAAGGGCAGGGCAGAGGCAGAGGCGGGUGGGAUGGAUUUUGAGCUGUAAACAGUGGUGAGUGGGUUAGAUUUGGGAGGAUGGUAAUAGGGGAUGGUGUAUGGGUUUGAGAGGGAACCUGUGCAAUCUGUUCAGAUUUAUCAAACGGAAAAACAUUUUCAUGAAAACGAACAUGACGGGAGAUAUACAUGCGAUGAGAUUCAAUAUCAAAACAUCGAUAACCAAGGUGAGAGGGACUGUAGCCAAAAAAUAUACAAGGAGAAGACCGAAAAUCUAAUUUGUGAUUAUUAUAGGGACGCAAGAAAGGAAAACAUAGACAUCCAAAAGUACGUAAAAAUUGAUAAUCAGGAGACCGUUGAAACAAACAAUCAAAAGGAGAUCGAUUAUCAAGAACAGAGUAGGCAUACGAUUAAUGAGAUAAACCGAAGUAUCAAAUGCAUAAUUCCAAAAACGAAAAGGAGCUUUACAUUGACCUAGAAGAGUAAGACCGGUUUCCACAAUAUGCCUAUGACGUCUUUCUACCAUUCCAUUUUGUUCGUGAGUAUGUGGACAUAUCAGACGGUGAUGAAUACCAACAGUUUGGAAGAAAGUGGAGAGUUUGCGAUAUUCACCGCCCCAAUCAGUUUGAACAGAUUUUAUUUUUAAAGAAAACUGACGUUCGACAAGAGUUUGAAAUUGAUGAAAGACAGAAUAAACAUCAGAUUUUGCAACAAGUGGAUAAUACCAUAUAUAUUUUGUGUGCGCAUCAACAAAUAUAACAAAAUAACGAUAACCAUCCGAAGAAAAAAGGGGAGCAGGACCCCACACAUCACUAAAAAUUAAUUCAAGCGGAGCAGAAGUUUUGUGACCAGUAGGUCGUAAAGACAAACGUGACGAUUUUCCUAAGGGACAACUUUGGCAUUGAAAAUUAAGACUUUUGUUGUUACAAAUGAUCUUAUUUUUCGAGACUAAAAAUUUAAAAAUGCGGGAGGUAGGAUGACCUAGGCGACGAUGCCACAAAUCAGCAGAGGCAGAGGUGCAGGAGACCAAUAGGCUUGAGGAGUUGACAGGACGGAAGACCUGAACUUGGACAAAGUAUAGAGACCAUCUUUACUCUGACCUGAGAGAAGGACUUCAUUGGUGUUGAGAUCCUUGACAUAAAAGAAAAGGGUGAAAUUCAAAAUAAACAUUAUUAUCGAGACAAAAUUUCUGAACAGAAAGCAGAGGUUUCGUGAUUGCAGGAACAUGUAGAACAUUAGAUAAAGUGAAUGAACGAUGUGGGUUAUAUAUUUUUGUAUGGCCAAUAUUAGAUAUGGAAAGUCCCUUACCAUCACCAACAUGCAAAUUAUCAUUACCAUUGUAUGGUUCUGAAGCAGUCAAGGUUGCAAGGUCGGGUGUGACGUGUUGGUUUGCACCGGUGUCCGGAAACCAUUCAGCAGCAGAGGCAGAAUUAUGGAAUGCCAAAUUGGCACUGUGUUGCGCCAUGCUGCGUUGCUGAAGUUGGGAACACUGAGGAGCAGUGUGUCCAAAUUGUUGCAUAGCUGGCAGCGGGAAUUUGAUCCUCGGCGCUGCCAAUUUCCUUGCCAGCUGUGUGCCUAUUUUCGUUGCCAUAUGAGGAGCAGAAUUGUAAUUGUUGGAGUUACGAAAAUCAGACCUGUAGGAAUAUUUCGGUUGCCUCGGUGAGAAGGAGAACGCCAGCUGCCAACGCCCCUAUGUCUCCAAACUGAGCAGAAUUGUACGUUGAGACAGUAGUGCUGAAGGUGGCGUGGGCAGCAAUGGUUGGUUGGCGUGGCAGCAGAUCCCAUAGACAAAUGAGAGGUUUUAUGAAUAAAUUCAUGAGUUAGCAGAUGACUAAGCAAAUCUGCAUAUGGUAGAGGAUCCACCCUUGUAAUAAGACUUGUUACUAAGUCCUUAAAUUCUCCGCGAAGGCCACGAAAUAUAUAGAGAUUAAAAUCGGUUAGCGAGAUAGGCCGGCCAGCAGCUGCUAGCUCAUCGAAUAAAGUCUUAGCUUUUUGCAAAAAUUGAGUUACCAAAUCAUCACCUUGUCGAAGUUCUUGAAGGGAACCAUGUAAUUGCAUAAUACGGGAAUUGGAUGUAGAGGCUAGAGCUUGCUCAAGUGUGAGCCAGACAGAACAUGAGGUUGGACAAUCAACAACAAGAUGAAGAACUUCCAUGGACAGCGAAGAGAGCAAGGCACUUAGAAUUAAUUGAUCCUGUUGUUUCCAACGAAGAAAGGAUUGAGAUACCUGAAGAGUAGCACCAUCGGCAGCAGGAAUAUGUGGAGAGGGGCAGGAGUUUGAACCAUCAACAAAGCCGAAAACUCCUUGGCCUAAGAGGUAUGGUUUCAUCUGCAUUCGCCAAUACAAGUAAUUGGUAUUCGUUAAUUUCAUAGAGAUGACCUGAUGGGUGUGUGAGAGGGACACAAUUGCCACGGCAGAGGCUGCUGUAGUUUCAGCAGACGAAGAUGGCAGCAGAGGAGCAUUGUCCGGAUUGAGCAGAGGAGGAUUGUCCGGAUUGAGAAGAGCAUGGCCAAUAUUAGUGUGCUGUGGCCACUGCAUAAUUGAGGCUGAAGAAGAGAGCUGUCCUGCGGCUGAAGAAGAAAAUUGUGGCGAAGGAGGUGGGACAACAGGGGUUGCUGCAGAGGAGGAGAAGGCUGCCGGCUGAGAAGAAUCCAUUGCUGUAGAGAAAGAGAAGGCUGCCGGCUAAGUGUUUUAAUUUAACCUAGCUCUGAUACCAAGUUGAGAAUUACUGAAUGUCUUAGGUUUAGCCUUAGCCAACCUUUCCUAUUUAUAUAUGUAGGGCAGAAUACAGUAGUAACCAUAGGGAUUACAACAUUGGAUUAAUCCUACAUUACAUUAAUAUCCUAUGUAUAGAUAUACAUGAUAUACAUUCUAUAAUACCCUGAUACCAAAGCCAUGCGGACAGGAGUGUUGUGUAAAGAGCCAAACAGAUACAGAAAAGCUAGCUAUUUUUUAGACUAUACUGGCUAAAUGUUAAUGUGAUGAAAAUUCUAGCAAACUUCAAAGCUAAAACCGUGUGAAAUGAAACAUUAAGCGUUGAUUUAGACCCAUUUUCCGGUCGAAAUCAACGCUUAAUGUUUACAGACGUCUGCAACUUUUCUUAGAGUGGCCUAGUGUGGUGUUCCACAAAAGUCUACCAAACAUGUUAGACCAGUUGGCCGAGAGAAGUCAUUAUCUUCCUUUACUGAUACCCAGAAGCAACCUUCCAAGUCAAGAUAAUAAAGCUUGAACUACUGUUUUAUCAUAGUAAAUAUUCUCCCAACAAAUUUCAUCAGGUCUAGUAAAAUCAAAUGCUCAUCAAAACGAACAUCCAAGCUGAAGAAAAGACAUCCAAAUGAAACCAGUUUUUUUUUUUUUUCCUGAUUUACAAGGAAAAAAAAACCUUUUAAGUAUGCAAUUGUAUAUAUAAAAAAUAAAUAGCCAUUAGUCGUUUGAAUAGUUAUUCAUUUUGUGUUUUUGAGCAAACCAAUGAAGAUAUCCGAUAUGGAAAAUCGACCAAGAAAACGAAGAUUCAAGUUAUGGACUGAAGACAAAAUCCUAUUCAAAACAAGAAUGUUUAGAAGUUAACGUUGGUGAAUGUUGCAGUUUAUUUAGAGUUUUAACACAUACAUGGGCAUAAAUAGGGAGUAAGAAUUAUGAUAGUAUUUAUAUUGUAAAAUUCUUAUAUGCUGUAUAAACAGUUUGUAUAGAAUUAAAAUUUAUAGUUUAUGUAGAACUUUAUUUCUAUAAUAUUAUUAAUAGGUCGUCUAGUAUUUGAAAAUAAUGGUUAAAUUUAUAUAAACAAUUUCUUAACAAAAUUUCCGCGAUACUUCGCUUUCUUUUACUUAUCGUAAUUUUCAAUUUCCUUUUUAGUUUUCUUUUCUUUUUAUUGUUUUACUUUAUUUCGUUAUUUAAUUUGUUGAUUCCGUAGCAUUACACACCUUCACCUCUUAAUCUCUUAAACCAAGUUAAUAAUUUCUUUCGAUUUAUGAGGCUAUUAGAGAUUAAAUUUCUAAGCUUAAUGUCUUCUCAUUGGAAAGAAGAAACGAAUAACAAGUAAAAAUAUCGAUGGAAGAAUCCAUCAAUCCAUCAACAACAACAUGCUGUAAUUAAUGUUUCCGUAAUAAUUAUCCAAACCAGUUGACACAUUGAAUUUGGAGGAGACAGAAACAUGUUCUUUACACUACUGCUUCCGUAACUUCUCCUCCCAUGAAAAACAACACAUGAUUUUUUUUGUUAGAACUACAAGAUACAGAAAUUUAAAAGUUUUCCUGCCUACAAACUUAUGCUGAAGGUGAAGCUGGACGUGGAGGAACAGAUACAUCGGUAAUUCCUUCUAACAUCAACACAACAGACUUCAUAGAAGGACGGAUACCUGGUUCAUCUUGAAUACACCAAAUGCCCACCAUAACCAUUUUCUCCAAAUUCUGCAAGUCUACAUCUUCACCAAGAUCUAGCUUGUCCAAUUCUCUUUCAACCAAAAGCUCGUAUGCCCAAUUAGAAAGUUGAAUUUCCUCUGCUCUUGAUACAUUAGUUUCUAUAUUUCUCCUGCAGAAAACAAUUUCCAAGAGCAUAACUCCGUAACUGUAAACAUCUGCCUUGACUGAUAUUGGAGUAUUCUUAUGCCAUUCAGGAGCCAAGUAACCUCGUGUCCCUCUGACUAUCGUAAAGGUUCUUGUUUGAUCAGGCAGUAGCAAUUUUGCUAGCCCGAAAUCAGAGAUCUUAGCAUUCCAAAAAUCAUCCAUUAGAAUGUUUUGAGGCUUUAUAUCGCAAUGGAUGAUUGGUGCUUCACACUCUUCGUGUAGAUAUAGGAUCCCUCUAGCAAUAUCUAAAGCAAUUUCACUCUGUGACUCCAAUCUGGAUCCUUUCAGUUCGGAAGAGAAGAUCUGCAAGGGAACCGUUGCUCAUGUAUUCGUAUACUAGGAGUCUCUGGGAGUCCUCAGUACAGUAACCAAGUAGCCGAACCAAGUUCUUAUGAUGAGUUUUUCCAAUCGAACGCAUCUCUGUGAGGAACUCCCUUUCACCUUCACUGACCAACUUUUCUAGCCUCUUCACUGCAAUAACUUUUUUACCUUUGUAUAAUGUCCCUUUGUAAACUGCUCCAAAAGAUCCUUUUCCCAACUCUUCCCUGAAACCCUUGGUUGCAUUUUUAAGCUCACGAUAUGAAAAUGCUCUCAGAGUGAGCUCAUGGGCCAAGCCAAGAUUUCCGCUCCCAACCGCAUUCUGGCCUUAACAACUCUUGACUUAGAGAUGAAAAAAACAGAAACUGCAAUGGCAAUUGAAGAGCAUGUGAUGAAUGCUACGCUCAUAACAAAAUGAGCAUCACUGUCUUCUUGCUUGUCUUAUGGACCACUGGAGGCUUCGUUCAGUGGCAAUGGAUCGGUUGCGGCUUUCGACACUCUUCAAACCCACCUUGAAGAAAACCUUUGAUGAGUCACCUUCAAUCUCUUAGCAUAUUUCACUGGGAACUUCACUUUCUUGCAGUCCCCAGAUUCGUACAGCGCACCAGCACAGUUACAGUCCUGCAAACAGGACUUUCUGCAAUCUUCUUCUGACAUGGAGUUUUUAAAAUAAGGAAAGUCAUCCCAAGUCAUUUUCUCCAUAUCAGUAAUGCUAUACGAGGAUGUUUCCUCUGCAACUUUGCAUAAGUCUUCAGUGUAGUUCCUCUUACACCCAUUAUAUCUCUGGUUGGGAUUGACAAAAGUGCCAGGAAGACAGCUGCAGUAAGGUUGAUUAUCGUUCAUGGUGCAGUAGCUGUUGAGACCGCAGAAAGACUUCACUUCGCACUGACUUUUUGGUGCAUAAUGCAUAAGAGAUGUAGUGUAGGCACCAUUGCUGUCGAAGUUAUGAGAAUACAAUCGAAAAAUUCCAUCGUACUCCAAUGUUGCACGGUAGAUAGUUGAGCUGUUUUCCGAUUCUGAAUCAGAGGAAAACACAGGUGUGCCACUGGCCAAGGUGUUGUUAAGGAUUAGCAGUUGCCCGGUAUAAUUCAAGUACAGAUGGGUACCGGAAGCAAAAGUGGCAGUGUUCCAAUAAGCAUCUACUGAAGUGUCUAUAGUGUCUAUGGGAUACAAAACAAGAUUCCCAUCAGAUUGCAUUUUAAGAUGAAACCUUCCUGUUGAAAAAUUGGUUGUAGAUGCACUGGAAAGCAGUUCACCCCCUGCAUAUAGAUUCUGGCCUCCUAAUAUUGUAUCUGUAGGAAAUUUGAAACUCUCCCAAAUGGCAUCAGAAUGUUCAUUGUAGAGCACUAGAUUUCCAGAAUCAUGCAUGCGAGCGUUUGAAGCUGACUUCUCUAUCUUAGCAAUGAGUUUCUCUUCACCGGCCUCAUUGUUGGCAGAAUAAGUUCUUAAAAGAAGCUUACCGUUUACGGUCAACUCCAACGUAGCAUUUGAGGCACAGGAGGGUCAUCUCGGUAUGCUGUCCAGGUGAUUAUAUCAGCUGGCUUACACACCAACCAAAUUCCCACUAUAAAGCCACUGCCCUGUGGGUAGAACCCAAAGGCAAAUGUGCCAGAAGGGGAGCGCCAUGAAGUUGGUUGGACGUUGGAGGAGAUUGAAGAACCUAAU